Molecule: long non-coding RNA, 44597 nt
Filed under: Malus domestica (apple)
Lineage: Eukaryota; Viridiplantae; Streptophyta; Magnoliopsida; Rosales; Rosaceae
Description: long non-coding RNA (MDOM_LNC005369)
Source: RNAcentral
GAGUGCGCUGCAAAGCAACAAAAGGUGACAAUGAUAACCUAGACUAGGGCCUAGCAAGACUCGACAGGAGGAACAUGCUAAUAGGUUUAAGCAUCGGGGGUUUCUACGGUGUGGCAUGAAACCCAUUUGCUUUUGCCACACCAGUAUCUGCCUCAGACCUGACCAUGUGUGGCCCUGCCGACAAGCCAGACGGGUCCACCAUCGAUUGUUGCCCACCUACCACCACGACCAUCAUCGACUUCGAACUCACUGACUCAGGCCCACUUUGCACUAGGCCCGCUGCCCAGGACGUUGCAAAUGACCCUGAAUACUUGGCCAAAUACAAAAAGGCCGUCGAGCUAAUGCGGGCACUUCCAGACGACGACCCGUGCAGUCACGCCCAACAGGCCAUGGUACACUGCUCCUACUAUGACGGUGGAUACCCACAAGUCGGAUAUUUGGAUUUGGAGAUCCAAGUUCACUAUUGUUGGCUCUUCUUCCCGUUCCAUCGUAAGUACCUCUACUUCUACGAGAAAAUCAUGGGCGAGCUCAUUGGGGACCCAACGUUCGCCAUCCCCUUCUAGAACUGGGACGCGGCAGCUGGCAUGUACAUUCAUGAGAUUUUCACUAAUACGUCGUCAUCCCUCUACGACAAGUACAGAAAUGCAGCACAUCAGCCCCCGAAGCUCCUGGACUUGAAUUACAGCGGGACCGACGAUGACGUUGACGACGUGACACAAAUCAUAGAAAACUUAACAAUGAUGUACCAGCAAAUGGUGUCGAAGGCCACUUCUCACAGACUCUUCUACGGAGAGCCCUACAGCGCAGGGGACGACCCUAGCCUUGGCGCCAGAAACAUUGAGAGCAUUCCUUAUAACAAUAUUCACUUUUGGACUAGCGACCCAACCCAGACAAACGAGGAAGACAUGAGGGCCUUUUACUCUACGGGGAGGGAUCCGCUAUUUUACUCCAACCAUUCCAACGUGGACCACAUGUGGUCUAUAUAUAAAGAUAAGUUGGGGGGUACGGACAUAGAAAAGAUUGACUAGUUGGACACAGAGUUCUUGUUCUACGACGAGAAAAAGAAUCUCGUGCGCGUCAAGGUUCGGGACUCGCUUGACACGAAAAAACUCGGGUAUGUGUACGACAAGAAUGCCUCAAUUCCGUGGCUAGAGUUGAAGCCGACGGCUCAUAAGUCGACAAAUAAGAGAAAGGCCACUGUUUCAUCUUCUGAUCUUACUACAACGUUCCCUGUUACACUGUCGGAUACAAUCAGCGUCGAGGUGACGAGGCUGUCUGCGAUGAAGCGGACAGCUGCCCAGAAGAAGGCGCAUGACGAGGUGCUUGUGAUUAAAGGGAUUGAGUUUGCCUGGAAUGAGACUGUGAAGUUCGACGUGUAUGUGAAUAAUGACGCAGACUCGCUAGCCGAGAAAGACAAGUCGGAGUUUGCUGGGAGUUUUGUUCACGUGCCGCAUAAGCAUAAGAAAAAUAUUAAGAUGAACCUGCGGCUGAGCAUUACGAGCUUGUUGGAGGAAUGGGAUGCGGAGACAGACAUCAGUUUGGUGGUGACUUUGGUGCCAAAAGUUGGGAAGGGGCCAAUCACCAUCGAAGGGUUUAGCAUUGAGCUUAUUAAUACUACCUGAGUAUUCAUGUUAUUGUUGUUCUUGUUGUUGUUGUUGGGUUGGCUUAAUCGUGGUUUUCUAGCUAAUUAAUCUUAAACGUACGUAAUAUGCUCAUCUACUGCUUACGUGGCAGAUGAUGGUUGGUGUUCCUCGUGAAUAAAAGCACUAUUGUGUUUCAGUGUGUUUAUUUAUUGAAUAAAGAAUUGAUGGUGGAGUUUAAUCAUAGUUUUCCAGAAUUAUUGAUGGUAGAGUUCUUGAAAAAUUAAUGGACCGUAAUUGUGUGUAAAAUUGUUUAUAAAACUAGUACACUACUUUACUAUUAUUAUUAUUUGUGAUAAUGGAGAGGACUAACAAUUGAGUCAAAUUCUUGCGCAAAGAGAAAGAUAACAAACAUGUAAGCCAAAAAAGUGUAGGGGUAAAACCACAAUAAAGCUAAAUAUGUGGUAGCGACUAGCAUAAAAAGUUCUUUUUUUUUUUUUUUUGGAAGAAAGGUAAAUUUUAUAACAAAUAACUAUUUAGGGACUCUAACCUUCACCUUUAAGUACUCAUUUAAGUACUUAACUGAAAUCUUUAUCUUCUUAAAGGAAUAUUGCCUCCAAUUGGAGCGUCUUAUAGUAGAAUUCUUAAAUUUGAAGUUUUUAUGAUUUUAUAUAAUAAUUUGAUUACGUGCACAUUUUUUGUUUAUAUUAACCUUUUAUAAUUAAUUAAAAGCUUCAAUCAAAAUUGUAGGCCCCGUUUUCAACUCAAGGUACACAUUUUUGCUUAGGGUAUUACUAGAUAGACUAAAUUUGUAGACGGAUGAGUAGACACAUCCGUCGCCUACAUACCGUUGAGAUGGCACUAUCAAAAUCCAGCUAAGGCAAGAAACUCCGUGUCGUGGCUGCUCCACUCUGCAAAGACAAAACUUUGUAAACUAAAUGACAUGGAAGUUGAUGAUUGAUUAUUACUUAAGCGUUGAUAAAAAUUCUCAUUUCUAUUAGCGAUACAUCAUUUGGUUUGCAAAUUUUGUCUAUAAAUUUAGUCUCCUUAGCAUUUCCUUUUGUGGGUAAUGCUAGGGAGAUUAAAUUUGUAAACAAAAUUUGCAAACAAAAUUUGCAAACCAAAUGAUGUGUCAUCAAUAGGAAUGAACACAUUUAUCAACGCUUAAGUAAUAAUCUAAUCAUCAACUUAUAUAUCAUUUAAUUUAUAAAAUUUUGUUUACAGAUUUAGUCUCUCUAGUAUUACCCAAAAUACAAAAUAUACAAUAUUUGACACCCAUAUUUCGUUGACUAUUCAUUAAAUCAAGUGAUUCAUCCAUCAACUUUUACAACCACCUUUCCCUUUACUGACUUAUUCUUUAUAUAGUCACUACCUAGGUUAUCUUGCAAGUUAACUACUAACAACUUUCUCUAACAGACUUAAGGUUCAUUUGGAAGUAUUUUUAAAAUGACUGAAAACGCUUUUGAUAAAAUUGAUUUUGGGUUCCAAAAGAACUUUAAAUGCUUUUUGAAGAAGCACAAAAUAUGUGCUUCUUGCAGGAAGCACAUAAAGUGUUUUUCCAUUAUCUACUUAGAUUUUUACUAAGGAUUGGUUUCAUAAAUAUUUUCACUUAAAGAGAUUUCAGUUAUUUAAAAAAAAAUCCAAACGAGCCCUUAUCCACUUAGCAACUAUCUGUUAUCCUAGUUAUAGCACUUCUACAUCUCUGAUUCAACAUGCUGAGUCAGCAAUUACAUAGAAUCCUAUCACAUGGCCAUGUCUCCUUUUUUGUGUCUCUCAUUGUAAUAACUCUUUUGAGAAUUCAACAAAAAAAAUGAUAUAUAUUGUAGCACUUAAAUGGUAACUGGUUAGUAAGUUAGAAUGACAUUAUAUUUAACAUGAAUUGUUUACCAGGGAAGGAAGCUUAUCUGUUAGUUUCUUUUUUCUUAGACCAUCUCUAACUGAAGUGACUAAAUAUAGCUCAGUUAAAAAUUAUAACCCUGCAAGAAAUUAUUUUCUAUGAACAAUGCCAAAUUAUAUUCAUUAUUCAUAUACCAUUUCCAACUAAAGUGACUAAACAUAACCAUACUAAAAUAAAAAUAUCUUUAAAUUUAUUAAACAUAACUUCCUCAAUAAUUUUUUUAUUUUAUGUGUUAUUUAAAUUUAUUAAUUAAUUUAAUUAAAGUACUACAACUUAUACCAUAUUAAAGUAAAAAUAUCUUUUUCGGAUAUUAUCGCGAGACACAUGUCGAGCUCAUGGAACUAAUGUAACAACUAAAGCAUAUAUGUAUAUAUAAGAAUAUACAAUUUACAAGGACACAACAAAGACAAGAUUUGUAUUCAUUUCUGCCCGGAUGUGGUACUAAUUAAUUCCAAAAUCAAAACCAUACUCAUACAUACAAAGCCUUAGUUUUUACAAGAUUUUCUUCGGACCGGAUUAUUUACAAGGGUCACAACAAAAGAAAAAAAAUCUUCUUUUUUUUUUUUGGUAUUGCAAAAACAGUGCUAUUUACAAGGAAAUUAGGGUUUCAGUUAUGUUGGGGACCUUCAGACUCGAUUUCUUUAGCCAGUUCUUUUGUGAGCAUGUCAGCCCGGUCAUCAUGUCCACCAGCGAAUGUGUAAACCCUAAAAGCAAACUGAAAAGCCUUCCGCUGCAUUUUCACACAAAUCUUUUGUUUGCUUCUGAUCAGUUUUUGUUCCAGUCUUACCUGCGGCCUUUGCUUCUCUCCUUUCCUGCAUCAUUUAACAUUUCAAAGUCAAAACUCCCUUUUCAAAUCAUUGUUAUUUGUUUUUUAAAGUAGUUAAUUCUGAGUACUAACCUUUAGUGCCAUCUCCAUGCAGCUUGAGGAGACAUCCACCAUGGCUUCUUUGAUCCGGAUGAGGAUAUUAAAGUCGAAAUGGAUAUUCUGGCUCUGAAACUUCUUGGCUUCGUCGUCUUCAGUUCGUUCCAUCGUGUCUAUUUCUCCUUUUAUCUGUGUAUUACCUUUUUUUAUUAGUUAUGGAAAAUGGAAAGAGACAAUUAAGUUUUUUUAUAUAAGAAACGAUAGUGAAGACAAUUAAGUAAGCAGAGAUUAUAUUCACAUACCCCAAAUUAUUUCUCCCACAUCCUUUUAAAAUUUUUAAUAUUUUCUCACACCCACUAACACUUCCCACUAACACUUGAUAGAAAAAUAUUAAAAAAUUAAAAGGGUGUGAGAAAAGUAAUAGUAGUAAGUUUUUUAUAUAAGAAACGAUAGUGGAGACAAUUAAGUAAGUAAGAUUGUAUAAAAUGAACAUUUGUGCACCUUUAUCAAAGUAGCGUUCGGCCUUGUCAAGGAGCUGACCCAAUGGAACCACUAGUUUCCAGUUUUGUAGUUCAUUGAGCAUUGUAUUUAAAUUUGUGUGUAGUGCUGCUGCCAUCCUUAUUGCUUCCAACUUCUUUGUUGGGAACCCUUCAAACCUGGAGAGUACCUGCAAUUCAGAAAACGGCAUGUCACAAAACACGAUUAUGAAGUGAUCAUAGAAUUAGAAUGGAAAUGAACAAAACUAAAGCGGACAAUUAAUGGUAUUGACCUGUGACUCAUCAGUCAAGUGUUCAAGGACGGAUUCGACUUUCUUGUGAAACUGCAUCAACCCAUUCAUGUCUUUUGUUUUGAAAGAACCAUGAUUAAAUUCGGGCUGGGUCAAACUUAAUACAGAUGGUAGUGUAAGGGGAAUUGCGGGUAUUGCCACAGGAGGGGGUUUGCUUAGGGAUGACAGUGGAAGAUGGAUCAUGGGCUUUGGACUCAAUAUAGGAGGAGUAUGCCCUGUGACCGCAGCAGAACUUUGGGCUUUAUACCAUGGGCUGGAACUGGCCUGGGCUGAAGGCCUCAGGAAAAUCUCAGUGGCCGUGGAUUCCACCGCUUUGUAGAUUCUCCUUUCGGUAAAACCACUCAUUUCUUUUCCUUGUCGAAGCCAUUCUCUUCUUAUCUCAUUUCCGUGAUAGGCUUUGCAUACUUCUGAACAUCUUCUUCAGUUUGUUGAAAGUAUGCUGAUCUGAGACACAAAAAUUAGAAACAUUAUAUGCAUGGUUUUCGCAUUAUUUUGAGUACUUAGAUUACUUAUCCAUACAAUAAAUACCUCUUUGUAAUCUCUGCUAGAGCAUCAGCCAUUCCUUGUUUUCCACCAGAGCUGCUUCCAAUUCCACUCUUUCUCCCGUUGGAUGCCUUGCCAUCCAAGCUAGAUCCUUUCACCUUUCUCUUGAGAAGACGGUAGAGACUACCCAUCUGAGGUGAUCUCUUCAGUUAGUGUCUGUCUUGUGGCGCAAGGAUCUUCCUGUGCCGAGUGCGGGAGGUGGGGGUGGAGCAGCUCCAUUUGAUGGGCCUUUUAUCAUGGGUGGUGGCUGUGGAGGACCUCCAUUUGAUGAUCCUGGUGGAGGUGGUGGGGGUGGAGGACAGCCAAUUGACGGUCCUGGUGGAGGUGGUGGUGCUGGAGCUCCAUUUGAUGAUCCUGGCGGAGGUGAGAGUAGGGGUGGAACGACUUUUGUUGACCUUGGUAUCACUGGUGUUGGUGGAGGGGUUGGAUUUACUGACACUGGUCCUGGUUCCAUUGGUAGAGGCGGUGGGGGUGGUGGCCCCCUAACUGCUACUACAUUAUGUGGGGUUAAUGUUGGUGGUGGUGGAGUUGCUGUAACUUGUGGCCGCAUGGCGGGUAGUGAUGGUGGUGGCGGCGGUGGUGUUGCAACAUUUAGCUUCAAAGUGUGUAGUGGUGGUGGUGGAGGGGAUGUUGGUAUUCUUGUUGCUGUUUCUGUAUUGGACAGUGAAAGUUGUUGCGUUGGUGGAGGUGGAGGUGGAUGCGGAGGCGGAGGCGGAGGUGCUGAUUUUGGUUGUGGAAGUGUAGGUGAGGGUGAAAGCAAUGAUGCUCCUGUGGUGUCUGCUUCCAAUGCUUCAGAGGCCGUGGUUGGAGUUUCAACAUCAUCACUUGUGUUGUCGAUACCCUGUCCACUAGACUUCUCAUCCAAACUAAGAUUUGGGGCUACUACUUCCUCAUCUCAUCUGUUGCUGCAAUUGUCUUUUGAGGGUUGCUCUCUAAUUCUGUCCCAAUUGGUGGGUCUUCAAACAAAUUUUCAAUCUUGUCCAGGCCAUUGUUGGUACCAUGAGCUCCUUGUUUUGAUAAGUGAAGAGACAAGUUCUUAACAUCAAUCGGAUUUAGCUUCCCAACUGCUUGCACUCUCAGAGUCCAAAGUAAUGGUGAUUUGGAACCAAUGUUGGCCUUCUUUCGUGCUCUCGGAGAACCAUCAAUCUCGGGUAGGACAGAAGAUGGAGUGAUCGGAGAAGGACAGGUGGAACCUGAGGCGUAGCUCUCCGAAUCGCUCAAGAACUUCCCAAAUGAGCAAUUCCGAGGGCUGUAAUCUUCUCUUUUCUGGCCAUCCUCAUCCAUCAUAUCAAACUUGUCCAGUGCCAUCUUCAUCAAGCAAUCAAACGUUUCCAGCACCGUCUCAACUACAAAAUCGUAUAGAGAAUCAGCCUUAACUUAAAAUUUCACAAAUGGAAAUAACAAUUAGGCUGUUGCUUCCAUUUCCAAAUGGGAGGCCUCGACUAGUCCUCGAGAAAAAUUUGUAGCAUACCGAGUUCAUCCUGAUUGACAUUCUCCUUGGGUGAUGGGAAAUCAUAUCUCGGUUUGUCCAACCUGUCAUAACUUGUCAUCCAAGACUCUCCAAUAGAUUUCAAUGCCUUGCAGAAGGAGGCCAUGACCUGAUUGUGGAUGUUUAAUUUGAGAAAUUAGCUUAAUGGUCUCGAGUAUAAUUACAUAUGCGUACUAAGCCAUUUCUUAUGGAUCUUAAAUCCUUAAUUACCUUCUCUGUACAUGCUUCCUUUAUCUCCGACAAUUGUUUAUGCAGCACAAUUUCAGGGAAAAGCUUCUGUAGAUCUCCCAUCAACCUCAUUACCAUCUGCAAGCAGAAAAUAAUUGGAAAAUUAAACAAAUUGUGUUUUAAUCCUGAAAUUGAAGUACAAGAUUUCAACGGGAAAAAAGGAAAUGUUAUUAGCAAUCCAAAAAAUUCAUUCUGCGCUCCAUCUUUUAAUCUUCAUUAGGGAAGAGUGUACUAUAACAUGUUUAGAGUUCCUAUAAAAGCGCUUUGGAAAAAAUAAAAAAGGGGGCACAUACCUCAGUUAUUGCAGCAGAAGCAUCACAUGCUGGUAGGUCGAUGAUGCCUCUAAAGAUGGUGAUCUUCUUCCGGAGCUCAGUCAUCCGAACCUCAUUGGCUGAAUCUCCGCAAGACCUAUCUUUUGGCAUGCCUCCUCUCCUAGAAGCAUUCUUCUGUUUCACAGGCAGACUCUUGGUUGGCCCCCUUGGAGUCUUUCAUUGCCAGAAAGAACAACUCUAUUCAUGUUAACCAUUUUCUAGUCUACACCUUAUUGUGAAUCGAUUCAUUUUCAGUGAUUAUUUAUUUUAUGAACCUUAAUCAAAGAUUUAUGGCUGCAUUCAACAAACUUAAUCUAGACAAGAAACAAUGCUGCCAUGUUUCCAUUUAUAUAGAUUAUUAGCAUGCCUAGAUGUAGAUGGUCAGUUUUUACUCGACCUCAUCCUCAAUGUGACUAGGAUUCUCUCCAUUCCUCUUUCCAUCCUCUUUCAUCUCCUCCUCUUACAUUCUCUUACAUUCUCUUUCUCUUGCUAUAAAAAAUUAAUAUAAGAUGUUAACAUGGUUUAAUUGUGACCGUUCAAAUAGAAGAUGAGGGAAAAAAAUAAGGAAGAGAAUCCUACUCCCCUCAAUGGUGCUAUGAAUAAUAUGAAGUUUAAAAUAAUAAAGUUUUGUGAAAAAUUCUUGGUGACAGCCAAAUCGUAUAGAACAGAACCAAAUGCGCCCUCUGUGUGAAAUACAUUUUCAAAUAUGAACCACGGCUUUUUUCUUCUUCUUUCUUUUUCGAAAUAUAGCAACGGAUUUUCUUAGGAUACUCCUACAAUUCAUCUUUAGAAGAGACUAGUCAUUUAAAUUGAAGAAGCUAAAUCUGGAAAAGGACAAAAAAAGAAGGGGGCUGCAAAUCGAAGAAGCUGAAAAGAAAAGGAAAAAAGGCGUUAAGGGAGUAGCCAAAUAGCUUCGAAAGCAAUUCAAUAGUUGAUAACAACCCAUUUAAAUUGAACCCAAGAAGCUUCUACCAUUUAAAAUUCAACAAAACACAAUCUAUACAGUCGGAAAAAAACAAAAAAACGAUUCCAUAAGAUUCAGGAAAAAGAAUAAAAAUUAUAUACCUUGUUGAUAAAGAAAGAGCUUGCAAAGCUGCAGAUAAAAACUGGAAAAUUCGAGCAACAACUUUUGCUGCAACUAAAAAUCAAAGCAGUUCAGAAAAGUACACCCAAAGCUUGAAAAAAAUUAAAUCACACACAAUCAGAAAAAUAGAAAACUCACCAGUAAACGUUUGAUCGUAUUGUUAACUUUUCCUGAAAUCAAAAAUCAAAACACAUAAGAGAACUCACCACAAUCCAUAUAGUUGCAUAAAAAACUUGUAGAUGCAAGAUUAGAAGAACUCACCACAAAACUAUCCACUUUGAGACCAGCAGAGGCGAAGAGAGGGGAGAGCAAACGGCUACGGAAGAAGCGAAGCAAGAGAAGUGGGAAAAAAAUUGGGGAAUCAUUGCAGAAAGAAGAAAAGGAACCGGACAAAAAUGUUGAAGGGCAAAGUUGAAAUAACAAAAACGAAGCAAGGGCAUUUGGUCCGCACACUGCCCUAGAACAGUGGCACACGAGUUUGUAAUUUUAGUGGUGUUUACUCUGAAUCAAUACUUACCACGUGAUUAGAAAGUGAUUUGUUCAUCUAAUAUAAACUUGUCACAUGAUAAAAUAAUUGUACAAAAGAAUCUCUCUUUUCAUCGAGACCGGAAUUAUUGAAUUAUGAUAGGAAAAUUCUACGCAUGCUUUGAAACACAUCAAUCAGUCUAUACUAUUAACCACGUAUUUCUUCAUUGUUGGGGAAAUUCUACGUAGCAUGUUUUUCAUGAUUACAUUAUCUUUAACAUUCGUAAACAAAAUAGAGGUCUAGAUUCGCAGACUCGAUGCCUACCUAUUAUUUUUCAUUGAUUAUUGGUCAUGCUACUAGCUGACUAGGAAGAUCGACUCUCCCUUACUGUUAUUAAAAUUUCGAAAUUUUCUAAUUCUCAUUUGUUUUUGUUGCAUAAGGUUUUUUUUUUUUUGGUUAAUUGUUGCAUAAGUAAUUUGGCAUGUAUUUUUUAACAAUGUUGGAUGAGAAAUCUAAUGGUUUAAGAAUUAUAAAUAAGAAUUUAAAAAACAUUUAGUGACAUUAAAAAAAGUAUUUCUUUGUAAUUUUAGUGGUGUUUACUUUGAAUCAAUAUUUACCACGUGAUUAGAAAGUGAUUUAUUUAUCUAAUAUAAACUUGUCACAUGAUAAAAUAAUUGUACGAAAGAAUCUCUCUUUUCAUCGAGACCGGAAUUAUUGAAUUUAUGAGAUUUAAUUGCAAUGUGUCCAUUUUAUGUGCGGUAGUUGUUGAUUUUUGCGCGGCGGGUUCGAAUCAUAUAAACCUAUAAAUAAAGAUUAAAUUGCAAUGUUUGUAUGACAUUUAAAUUAGUCUGGACUUGUAGUUUAGAAGUAAUGUUUCUAACAUGGUGUAUGAAACUUAAAUAUCCCAUAUAUUUUUUUCAUCCACUGUAUAAAAAAUGAAAAUACAUGUGUUAAUCACUUAUACAAUACAUCCAAACGAGAAUAAGAAAAUUUCAGAAUUUGAAUAAAAAAUUAUGGGAGAGUCAAUAUGCACAUGAUUUUUGCUUUAGUACCGUGGGAUAAUAGCUUACCGUAAGCAAAAACACAAAAUAUAAAUUAUAAAUAUAAUAGAAGGAUAACUGGAAUCGCUCCGGGGGUCUCUCACCCGUCCUUGACCUCUUACCAAGAAUUUUGGCUUCUAUCCCAUCCCAGGGCUAGAAUUUUAAUCUCUGGAAGGCAAAGCUUUUCUAUUCAACUCUUCAUUGUUUGUUAAUCUGAAUUACAAGGGAUGUUUAUAAAGCCUAAAAAUGACCGCAUGAAGGUAAACUUAUUAUAGUAAAGAAAUCCUAAUCCAAAAUAAAAUAGGACACUAUAUCUAAUCCUAAUUAAACUGGAAAGAAUUAUAGAGCUCGUUGGAAGUGAUUUUAAAAGCUGAUAGUGUUUUUGGUGAAAAUGAUUUAGGAACCAAUGCUUAGUAAAAAUGCAAGUAAAUUCUAAAAAAAAAACACUUAGUGUUUCCUUAAAAAAACAUAUAACCGGUGGUUCUUAUAAUAAGCACUUCAAGUGCUUUUGAAAUCCAAAAAUAUUUUAUCUAAAAACGUUUUUAAUCAUUUUAAAAGUACUUUGAAAUCAACCUUUAAUUCUUAUAAACUAAGCAAUCAUAAAACUACCCCCUAGAUAUUAAAAUACUAAGGACUAAAGACUAAAAAGGCUAAAAUACCCUUUAAUUUAGGAAGUCACCACUCUUGUUCCACGUGACUUAGCUAUUACUAAUUUACUAUCACCAGUAAUUGAUGAAAGAUAACAUCAAAAUAGAGAGGCAUAUAGAGUCAGCAAAUCUAGAACCUCUCUUUUUCAUGCAAAUUUUCCUCAUCGACGAAGAAAAAUGUGCUAUAUAUUUUUUAUUCAUGUGUUUCAAAAGUGGAUGGUCUCUUCCGUAAGGUGGUGAACUUAAAGAAAUUUGAGGUUGUAUUGUAAAAUUAAUUAGUAAAUAGAGAGUGGUUUAAUUCUUUAUAAGCUCUUGUAUGAUUUGAUUUCUCACCGAUGUGAGACUUUGUCUUUACAUUCUUACACUAUUCUCGCACGUGGCAAAUUUUAAAACCUAACAUGCGGACAAUACAAAUUGGGUGACGUGGAACAUGUGUAGCCAUUGGACUUCACACGUGGGCUAAUAUGAAGAUUAGUCUAACUCUUCAUAAGCCCUUGCAUGAUUUGGUUAAUCACUGAUGUGGGACUUUGUUCUCACAUUCUCACACGCUCCAUCAUGUGUGGCGAAUAUUCAAACCUAACAUAUGAACAAUACAUAAAAUCUCAAUUUUCUACAAAGUAUCAGAGUUGGUUGAAUCAGAUGUUUAAUUAUUCUUUCGUAGUAUGAAGUCAAUUGAACUACGUGUUUGAUAUGUAAGGAUGUAAAUGUUGAUCCACAUCAAAAAGUUAAGAGACCGUUUACGAUUUUAAUUUGUCCUGAAAGAUGCAUUUCACCACUUGAUGUAGCUCGUAUGGGAAGCCUAACUUUUUUUUUUUUUUUUUUUUUUUUUCUCGCAAUAUAGAUUGUUAACUUUUUCUUUUAAUUUGAGGGAUUCUCCUUGUCUUAAUGAUGUUGACAUCAGAGUGGUAUGGUUCAUGAAUCUUGACUAAGAAAACCCUGCAUUCAUACACACAUUUUUAGUGUGCGGUCCCGCCAAUUUCAACUAUAAAAACAUCACAAUCCCCUUUCCUUCUUAAUUGCAGAGUGGAAAGGAAAACCAAUUCAGCCAUGUCUUCAUCUCCCUUACCAACUUCUACAAUGGCCACCCUGCACUCCACCACAACCACCCUCUUCCGCUCUCCUUUAUUCCCAAACAAGUCCCAGACUCCACUGCAACGAAAACCCAAACAAUGCCUUGCGGGUAGAGUGCGCUGCAAAACAACAAAAGGUGACAAUGAUAACCUAGAUCAGGGCCUAGCAAGACUCGACAGGAGGAACAUGCUGAUAGGUUUAGGCGCCGGGGGUCUCUACGGUGCGGUAGGAAACCCAUUUGCUUUUGCCGCACCAGUAUCCGCCCCAGACUUGACCACGUGUGGCCCUGCCAACAAGCCAGACGGGUCCACCAUCGAUUGUUGCCCACCUACCACCACGACCAUCAUCGACUUUGAACUCCCUGACUCAGGCCCACUCCGCACUAGGCCCGCUGCUCAGGACGUUGCAAAUGACCCUGAAUACUUGGCCAAAUACAAAAAGGCCGUCGAGCUGAUGCGGGCACUUCCAGACGACGACCCGCGCAGUCACGCACAACAGGCGAUGGUACACUGCUCAUACUGCGACGGUGGAUACCCACAAGUCGGAUAUUCGGAUUUGGAGAUCCAAGUUCACUAUUGUUGGCUCUUCUUCCCGUUCCAUCGUUGGUACCUCUAUUUCUACGAGAAAAUCAUGGGCGAGCUCAUUGGGGACCCAACCUUCGCCCUUCCGUUCUGGAAUUGGGACGCGCCAGCUGGCAUGUACAUUCCUGAGAUUUUCAUUGAUACGUCAUCAUCCCUCUACGACCAGUACAGAAAUGCAGCGCAUCAGCCCCCAAAGCUCCUGGACUUGAAUUAUGGCGGGACUGACGAUGACGUCGAUGACGCGACACGAAUCAAAGAAAACCUAACAACGAUGUACAAGCAGAUGGUGUCGAAUGCCACUUCUCACAGACUCUUCUACGGAGAGCCCUAUAGCGCAGGGGACGAACCAAGUCCUGGUGCCGGAAACAUUGAGACCACUCCCCAUAACAAUAUUCACCUUUGGGCUGGUGACCCAACCCAGACAAACGGGGAGGACAUGGGGACAUUUUACUCUGCGGCGAGGGAUCCGCUGUUUUACUCUCACCAUUCCAACGUGGACCGCAUGUGGUCUAUAUAUAAAGAUAAGUUGGGUGGUACGGACAUAGAAAAUACCGAUUGGCUGGACGCAGAGUUCUUGUUUUACGACGAGAAAAAGAAUCUCGUGCGCGUCAAGGUUCGGGACUCGCUCGACACGAAAAAACUCGGGUAUGUGUACGACGAGAAUGUCUCGAUCCCAUGGCUGGAGUCAAAGCCGACGACUCGUAAGUCAACAAAUAAGAGAAAGGCUGCGGUUUCAUCUUCUGAUCUUUCUACAACGUUCCCUGCUACACUAUCAGAUAUAAUCAGCGUCGAGGUGACGAGGCCGUCUACGACGAAACGGACAGCUGCCCAGAAGAAGGCGCAGGAGGUGCUGGUGAUUAAGGGGAUUGAGUUUGCCGGGAAUGAAACUGUGAAGUUCGACGUGUAUGUGAACGAUGAUGCGGACUCACUGGCCGGGAAAGACAAGUCGGAGUUUGCUGGGAGUUUUGUUCACGUGCCGCAUAAGCAUAAGAAGAAUAUUAAGACAAACCUGCGGCUGAGCAUUACAAGCUUGUUGGAAGAGUUGGAUGCGGAGACAGACAACAGUUUGGUAGUGACUUUGGUGCCGAAAGUUGGGAAGGGGCCAAUCACCAUCGGAGGGUUUAGCAUUGAGCUCAUUAAUACUACCUGAGUAUUAAUUAAUGUUAUUGUUGGUUCUUCUUGUUGUUGUUGGGUUGGCUUAAUCAUGUUUUUCUAGCUAAUUACUCCUGAACGUUCGUAAUGUGCUCAUCUACUGCUUAUGUGGCAGAUGAUGGUUGGUGUUCCUCGUGAAUAAAAGCACUAUUGUGUUUCGGUGUGUUUAUUUAUUGAAUAAAGAAUUGAUGGUAGAGUUUAAUCAUAAUUUUCUAGAACUAAUGAUGGUACACUACUUUAAUAUUAUUGUUAUUUGUGAUAAUGGAGGACUGACAAUUGAGUCAUAAUCUUGCGCAAAGAGAAAAGAUAACAAACAUGUAAGCCAAAAAAGUGUAGGGGUAAAACAACUAUAAAGCUAAAUAUGUGGUAGUGACUAGCAUAAAAAGUUUUUUUAUUUUUUAUUUUUGGAAGAAAGGUAAAUUUUAUAACAAAGAACACUAACUUACAUAGAAAAUACCCACAUACAAAUAGAUACAAAGCAAAAAUGGACCUCCCAAGCUAACCAAAAAGGGCCCAACCAAGAGGCCCAAACCAAAAACAAAUCGAAAGAAAAUUCGAGAAGCCUGCUACCACUGCUGCAACAUUGCGUCACGAUCAACCUGAUUCGGCUCCCCCAAUAGACACCUAAAACCCAACCAUGCAGCAACACACUCAUUUUCGGUGUGAUGUAAUCGAAUCCAACGUGAUACAACCCUUACGCGGCUGCUUACUCAAUGUAACAGUAACUGGUAUAUUUCAUUACAAUAUCAACUUUUACAACAACCUUUCCUUUUACAGACUUAUUCUUUAUAUAGUCACUACCUAGCUUAUCCUGCAAGUUAACUACUAACAACCUUCUCUAACAGACUUAAGGCUCGUUUGGAAGUACUUAAAAAUGACAAAAAACGUUUUUGGUACAAUUGAUUUUGGGUUUCAAAAGCACUUUAAGUGCUUUUUGAAGAAGCACCAGAUAUGCGCUUCUUGCAAGAAGCGCAUAAAGUGAUUUUUCAUGAUCCACUUAGAUUUUUACUAAGGAUUGGUUUCAUAAACAUUUUCACUAAAAACGCUUUCAAUCAUUUAAAAAACACUAUCAAACAAGCCCUUAUCCACUUAGCAACUAUCUGUUACCCUAGUUAGCCCAUCCACUUCACUGAUUCUAUAUGCUGAGUCAGCAAUUACAUAGAAUCCUAUUAUAGAGCCAAGAUAUGCUGUCUCCUUUUUUGUGUCUCUCAUUGUAGUAACUCUUUGAGAAUCAAUAAAAAAAUGAUAUAUAUUGUAGCACUUAAAUGGUAACUGGUUAGUAAGUUAGAAUGACAUUAUAUUUAACGUGAAUUAUUUACCAGGAAGAGAAGCUUCUCUGUUAGUUUCUUUUUUCUUAAGCCUCUCUAACUGAAGUGGCUAAGUAUAGCCCAGUUCAAAAUUAUAACCCUCCAAGAAAUUAUUUUUUAUUAACAGUAUCAGAUCAUAUUCAUUAUUCAUAUACCAUUUCCAACCAAAACGGCUAAACAUAACUCUUUCAAUAAUUUAUUAAUUUUAUGUUUUCUUUAAAUUUAUUAAAAAAAUAUCUUUUUCGGAUAUAAUCGCGAGACACAUGUCAAGCUCAUGGAACUAAUGUAACAACUAAUACAUAUAUGUAUAUAUAAGAAAAUACAAUUUACAAGGACACAACAAAGACAAGAUCGUAUUCAUUUGCCUGGAUGUGGUACUAAUUAAUUCCAAAAUCAAAACCAUACUCAUACAUACAAAGCCUAAUUUUUUACAAGAUUUCUUUGGACCGGAUUAUUUACAAAGGUCACAACAAAAGAAUAAAAAUCUUUUUUUUUUUUGGUAUUGCAAAAACAGUGCUAUUUACAAGGAAAUUAGGGUUUCAGUUGUGUUGGGGACCAUCAGACUCGAUUUCAUUAGCCAGUUCUUUUGUGAGCAUGUCAGCCCGAUCAUCAUGUCCACCAGCGAAUGUGUAAACCCUAAAAGCAAACUGAAAAGCCUUCCACAGCAUUUUCACACAAAUCUUUGUUUGCUUCUGAUCAGUUUUUGUUCCAGUCUUACCUGCGGCCUUUGCUUCUCUCCUUUCCUGCAUCAUUUAACAUUUCAAAGUCAAACUCUCUUUUUCAAAUCAUUGUUAUUUGUUUUUUAAAGUAGUUAAUUCUGAGUACUAACCUUUAGUGCCAUCUCCAUGCAGCUUGAGGAGACAUCCACCAUGGCUUCUUUGAUCCGGAUGAGGAUAUUAAAGUCGAAAUGGAUAUUCUGGCUCUGAAACUUCUUGGCUUCGUCGUCUUUAGUUCGUUCCAUCGUGUCUAUUUUCCCUUUUAUCUGUGUAUUACCUUUUUUUAUUAGUUAUGGAAAAUGGAAAGAGACAAUUAAGUAAGUUUUUUAUAUAUAUAAGAAAUGAUAGUGAAGACAACUAAGUAAGGAGAGAUUAUAUUCACACACCCCAAAUUAUUUCUCCUACACUCUUUUAAUUUUUUUAAUAUUUUCUACACACCACUAACUCUUGAUAUAAAAAUAUUAAAAAAUUAAAAGAGCGUGGGGAAAGUAAUAGUAGUAAGUUUUUUAUAUAAGAAACGAUAGUGAAGACAAUUAAGUAAGAUUGUAUAAAUGAACAUUUGUGCACCUUAUCGAAGCAGCGUUCGGCCUUGUCAAGGAGCUGACCCAAUGGAACCACUAGUUUCCAGUUUUGUAGUUCAUUGAGCAUUGUAUUUAAAUUUGUGUGUAAUGCUGCUGCCAUCCUGAUUGCUUCCAACUUCUUUGUUGGGAACCCUUCAAACCGUGAGAGCACCUGCAAUUCAGAAAAUGGCGUGUCACAAAACACGAUUAUGAAGUGAUCAUAGAAUUAGAAUGGAAACGAACAAAAAUAAAGCGGACAAUUAAUGGUAUUGACCUGUGACUCAUCAGUCAAGUGUUCAAGGACGGAUUCGACUUUCUUGUGAAACUGCAUCAACUCAUUCAUGUCUUUUGUUUUGAAAGAACCAAGGGUGGUUCUCAUUUCCAUGAUAGGCUUCGCAUACUUCUGAACAUCUUCUUCAAUUUGUUGAAAGUAUGCUGAUCUGAGACACAAAAAUUAGAAACAUUAUAUGCAUGGUUUUCGCAUUAUUUUGAGUACUUAUUAGAAACAUUAUAUGCAUGGUUUUCGCAUUAUUUUGAGUACUUAGAUUACUUAUCCAUACUAUAAGGACCUCUUUGUAAUCUCUGCUAGAGCAUCAGCCAUUCCUUGUUUUCCACCAGAGCUGCUUCCAAUUCCACCCUUUCUCCCAUUGGAUGCCUUGCCAUCCAAGCUAGAUCCUUCCACCUUUCUCUUGAGAAGGCGGUAGAGACUACCCAUCUGAGGUGAUCUCUUCAGCUUAGUGUCUUUCUUGGGGCGCAAGGAUCUUCCUGUGCCGAGUGCGGGAGGUGGGGGUGGAGCAGCUCCAUUUGAUGGGCCUUUUUACAUGGGUGGUGGCGGUGGAGCACCUCCAUUUGAUGGCCCUUUUAACAUGGGUGGUGGGGGUGGAGGACUGCCAAUUGACGGUCCUGGUGGAGGUGGUGGUGCUGGAGCUCCAUUUGAUGAUCCUUGAGGAGGUGGGGGUAGGGGUGGAACCACUUUUGUUGACCUUGGUAUCACUGGUGUUGGUGGAGGGGUUAGAUUUACUGACACUGGCCCUGGUUCCAUUGGUUGAGGCGGUGGGGGUGGUGGCCCCCCAACUGCUGCUACAUUAUGUGGGGUUCAUGUUGGUGGUGGUGGAGGAGUUGCUGCAAUUUGUGGCUGCAUGGCGGGUAGUGAUGGUGAUGGCGGCAGUGGUGUUGCAACAUUUAGCUUCAAAGUGUGUAGUGGUGGUGGUGGAGGGAAUGUUGGUAUUCUUGUUGCUGCUUCUGUAUUGGGCAGUGAAAGUUGUUGCGUUGUUGGAGGUGGAGGUGGAGGUGGAGGUGGAGGCAGAGGCGCUGAUUUUGGUUGUGGAAGUGUAGGUGAGGGUGAAAGCAAUGAUACUCUGGUGUCUGCUUCCAAUGUUUCAGAGGCUGUGGUUGGAGUUUCAACAUCAUCACUUGUGUUGUCGAUACCCUUUCCACAAGACUUCUCAUUCAAACUAAGAUUUGGGGCUACUACUUCCUCAUCUGUUGCUGCAAUUGUCUUUUGAGUGGUUCUCUCUAAUUCUGUCCCAAUUGAUGGUUCUUCAAACAAAUUUUCAAUCUUGUCCAGACCAUUGUUGGUGCCAUGAGCUCCUUGUUUUGAUAAGUGAAGAGACAAGUUCUUAACAUCAAUCAGAUUUAGCUUCCCAACUGCUUGCACUCUCAGAGUCCAAAGCAAUGGUGAUUUGGAACCAAUGUUGGCUCUCUUUUGUGCUCUUGGAGAACCAUCAAUCUCGGGUAGGACAGAAGAUGGAGUGAUCGGAGAAGAACAGGUGGAACCUGAGGCGUAGCUCUCUGAAUCGCUCAAGAACUUCCCAAAUGAGCUAUUCCGAAGGCUGUAAUCUUCUCUUUUCUGGUCAUCCUCAUCCAUCAUAUCAAACUUGUCCCGUGCCAUCUUCAUCAAGCAAUCAAGCGUUUCCAGCACCGUCUCAACUACAAAAUCGUAGAGAGAACCAGCCUUAACUCAAAAUUUCACAGAAGGAAAUAACAGUUAGGUUGUUGCUUCCAUUUCCAAAUGGAAGGCCUCAACUAGUCCUAGAGAAAAAUUUGUAGCAUACCGAGUUCAUCCUGAUUGACAUUCUCCUUGAGUGAUGGGAAAUCAUAUCUCGGUUUGUCCAACCUGUCAUAACUUGUCAUCCAAGACUCUCCAAUAGAUUUCAAUGCCUUGCAGAAGGAGGCAGGACCUGAAUGCCGUUGUUUAAUUUGAAAAAUUAGCAUAAUGGUCUCGAGUAUAAUUACAUAUGCGUACUAAGCUAUUUCUUAUGGAUCUUAAAUCCUUAAUUACCUUUUUUGUUCCAAAAAAAAUAAAAUUCCUUAUUUACCUUUUCUAUAGAUGCUUCCUCUAUUUCCGAUAAUUGUUUAUGCAGCACAAUUUCAGGGAAAAGCUUCUGUAGAUCUCCCAUCAACCUCAUUACCAUCUGCAAGCAGAAAAUAAUUGGAAAAUUAAAAAAAUUGUGUUUUAAUCCAGAAAUUUAAGCACAAGAUUUCAACAGAAAAAAGAGAAAUUUUAUUAGCAAUCCAAAAAAUUCAUUUUGCACUCCAUUUUUUAAUCUUCAUUAGGGAAAAGUACUAUAACAUUUUUAGAGUUCCUAUAAAAAAUAAAAAAAGGGACACAUACCUCAGUUAUUGCAGCAGAAGCAUCACAUGCUGGUAGGUCGAUGAUGUCUCUGAAGAUGGUGAUCUUCUUCCGGAGUUCGGUCAUCCGAAUCUCGUUGGCUGAAUCUCCGCAAGACCUAUCUUUUGGCACGCCUCUCCCAGAAGCGUUCUUCUGUUUCGCAGGCAGACUCUUAGCCCCCUUGGUGUCUUUCAUUGCCUGAAAGAACAACUCUAUUCAUGUUAAUUAACUAUUUUCUAGUCUAGACCUUAUUGUGAAUCGAUUCCUUUUCAGUGAUUAUUUAAUUUAUGAACCUUAAUCAAAGAUUUAUGGCUGCAUGCAACAAACUUAAUCUAGACAAGAAACAAUGCUGCCAUGUUUCCUUUUAUAUAGAUUAUUAGCAUGCCUAGAUGUAGAUGGUUAGUUUUUAUUAGCAGCUAGAUUUAAGGAUGAUGGGUCACAUAAAUCGGACAUGUUUAAGGAAUUAAACAUGGAAACACAAAACUGUACCUUAAUUCCAGAAGGUUUACGACGAAACAAUGGACUGAAACAGCUUCCGAUAGUCAUGGCUUGAACCUACGCUGAGAUUUGUAAUAGACUUGAACUGGGCAAAAGUGAUGGUGAUGAUGAUGAAAGAAUGACGAAGAAAACGACAACGACGAAGCCAAAGACGAUGGUGAUGAUGAUAAUAUUGUUAAAUGAUCAUACAAUUGGGUGUCAACCAUUACUAGCCAGCACACCCUUAAAGCUUAAUGUGGUUUUGAAAACAACUCCAGAAUGUAAAAAUUGUAAUGUGUUCAACAACAAGAAGAGAACUGUUCAAAAAAUUCAACUUAUUUGAAAAAGAAAAUGAGAUGAAGACACAAUUACGUGCGAGACACUUAGUUUUUUGUGUUAAUUAGUCUGUACAAGAAACUGGAAAAAUCCAUUUCUUUUCUUUCAGCCAGCCUUUGAACUUUCUCUGAAAAGAGAAGACAAGGAAAGACAAAAGGGCAAAUUCCCUUCUAUUAAGGAAGAUCUUCCAGUAGGCUGAAGCUGUAUCAGACCUAAAGUUUCCUCUUUUUUCUUUUUCCAUUUUUCUAUUUUAUUUUUAAUUAGGCGUUUUACUUAAUUAAUUAAUGAAUUACCUGUUUAGUUAUCUAAAUCGUGCAUGCAAUGAUUGCAGGAACUGGUCCUAGAUUUUUAUUGCUUGCAGCUAUUUAUAGAAUGAUACAGCUUCUCACUUGUGUAAGAUGAGGUUAUGGUUGCAAUACCGUUGUACCAGAAAAUUUUAAAUUUUCAAAUUUUAUCUUCUGUGUCGAUUAUCCAUUUAAACAAACUUGAUACCAUAAUAAACAAAUUGCAUUCUAAUCAAAAGUUUUGUUUGAAAAAGUCCAUAUUAUAAUAGUAACCCUACAUGAUUGAUGUUAAUGUCAUACCUAAAACUUUUUUCUAAUUUUACAGGAUGUAAAAAUAUAUAUUUUUUCGUUUAACUUUUCUAAGAGAGGUUUUUAAUUAAAAUAUUAUCUGAAAUAUCCAACACAUCUUACUAGGUCAAAAUAAAAAUAGAUAAAAGUCAAAUAAAUAGUAGCUAAGGUCUUGAUUACCUAUCACCUCCUGCAAAAUAGCUUGCUUAAAUGUAAAAUCUAAAAGUCUUGCUUACAUACAAAAGUUACUCCGUGACAGACAAAUACUACAAAAAGAUCACCCAAAAAACAUGGUGUUAUUAGUCAACGUUCAUACCUAAUACCCCAUUUGACGAUUAGAAAGUUGGAACCUGGACAAUUUCUAUCCGCUUCUUUUCACCAAAUUUGGGCAAUGAAGCCUUCAUAUACUAGGUCGUUUGCCUUGGUCAAACUGAGAGUCCCUGGUAGCCUGGGCAAUGAAGCCUUCAUAUGCUAGGUCGUUUGCCUUGGUCAAACUGAGAGUCCCUGGUAGCCUGGGCAAUGAAGCCUUCAUAUACUAGGUCGUUUGCCUUGGUCAAACUGAUAGUCCCUGGUAGCCUUUGCAAAGGAAGAUGAUAUUGUAAUUUCACCAUAUAUAAAGAGGGCCAAGUUUGUUCGUGUAGUUUGUAUAGAGUGUAGCUAUAAACACUUCAACCUAUUUGGUGAAAAAUCCAAGUGCGACCUUGGACUGCAUGGACAAGGGAAAUUCUAAAGUCCAAUUAGGGUUAUAUUUUCUUUGAGUUACGUAAUUAGGAAGACACUCACGUAGAAAUACUUGAAUUUAGAUGGCAACAACAUUCAAUAUAUGGAGAAGAAUAUAUAGACAUUGUGCAUCAGCCUAUCGUAUGGCAACAACAUUCAAUAUAUGGACAAAAAUGUUGAAGGGCAAAGUUGAAAUAACAAAAACGAAGCAAGGGCAUUUGGUCCGCACACUGCCCUAGAACAGUGGCACACGAGUUUGUAAUUUUAGUGGUGUUUACUCUGAAUCAAUACUUACCACGUGAUUAGAAAGUGAUUUGUUCAUCUAAUAUAAACUUGUCACAUGAUAAAAUAAUUGUACGAAAGAAUCCCUCUUUUCAUCGAGACCGGAAUUAUUGAAUUAUGAUAGGAAAAUUCUACGCAUGCUUUGAAACACAUCAAUCAGUCUAUAUUAUUAACCACAUAUUUCUUCAUCGAUGGAGAAAUUAUACGUAGCAUGCUUUUCACGACUACGUUAUCUUUAACAUUCGUAAACAAAACAGAGGUCUAGAUUCACAGACUCGAUGCCUACCUAUUAUUUUUCAUUGAUUAUUGGUCAUACUACUAGCUGACUAGGAAGAUCGACUCUCCCUUACUGUUAUUAAAAUUUCGAAAUUUUCUAAUUCUCAUUUGUUUUUGUUGCAUAAGGUUUUUUUUUUUUUUUGGUUAAUUGUUGCAUAAGUAAUUUGGCAUGUAUUUUUUAACAAUGUUGGAUGAGAAAUCUAAUGGUUUAAGAAUUAUAAAUAAGAAAUUAAAAAACAUUUGUGACAUUAAAAAAAAGUAUUUCUUUGUAAUUUUAGUGGUGUUUACUUUGAAUCAAUACUUACCACGUGAUUAGAAAGUGAUUUAUUUAUCUAAUAUAAACUUGUCACAUGAUAAAAUAAUGGAGAAAUUAGGUUCUCAUCCCUCUUUUGACUACUUCAUUGAUUAAAAUCUUAUUCCUUUUCAAUUUUUGAUCAAGGUCUUUGGGUAUUAAUAACAUCAUUAAUUAUUUCAAUAAUAAAAUAUUUUUUUUUAUUUCUAAAUAUAUUCAUUUAAUGUUAAAAAUGUUACAAUUAGUAUAUUUAUAUUUAUGACUAAGUUUUUUUAUCAGAUAUUUUUAGUUUUAGUUUGUACCCAUUUUUAAUUUGUAAUUCUUUUUUAAUUUGUACCAAUUUUCUUUUUAGUUUUAAUUUGUACCCAUAUAUUAAUUUCUUUUUGUGCCCAUAUUUUUUAAAGUUUAUUUGUAUUUGUACCCAUAUUUUUUUUUAUUUGUACUUUUUAUUUUGCUAAAUGUACUCGUGCUAAUUAUAUGCACCCAUUCAUAUAAAACUUUUAAAUCUAAAAAUGUACUCAUUCUUAAAUAUAUCAAUUUGUUAUAUGUAAAAUGUACCUUUUUUUUAUAUAAAAUCUAUUCAAUUUUUUUUAAUCCAUUUUUAAACUUAUAUGGGUACAUUAAUUCUUUUUUCUUUGAUUUUAAAAUGUAUCCAUGUCAAGUUUAAUCUAAGAAAUUUACUAAUGUUAUUAAGCCUAAUAUCUUCUCCUUCUUCUUUUUUUUUUUGUGAUUUUGAAGAAUGUACCCAUGUUUUGAUACAAUAAUUUUUUUGGAUAAUUUUGAUGAAUGUACCCAUGUUUAUAUAUACACACACACACACAAUAGUAUAUUUAUAUUUUAAUAUUUUUAAUCCCACAAAUUAUGGUUUUAUAUUUAAAAUCUCAUUUAUAUAAACCACUAAAUUUUCUAAUUUUUAAUUUAAAAAAUAUAGUAACGUACAUAGAAAUAAAUUAUCACAUUAAUUUCAGGGACGUCGAUCAAAAAUUAAAAACCAACAAGGUUUUAAUAAAAGAAUAUUCAUAGUUAAGGACCAUAUCCAAAGUUUCCCUAAAAUAAUUGUACAAAAGAAUCUCUCUUUUCAUCGAGACCGGAAUUAUUGAAUUUAUGAUAGGAAAAUUCUACCAUGCUUUGAAACACAUCAAUCAAUCUAUACUAUUAACCACAUAUUUCUUCAUCGAUGGGGAAAUUCUACGUAGCAUGCUUUUCACAAUUACAUUAUCUUUAACAUUCGUAAACAAAACAGAGGUCUAGAUUCGCAGACUCGAUGCCUACCUAUUAUUUUUCAUCGAUUAUUGGUCAUACUACUAGUUGACUAGGAAGAUCGACUCUCCUUUACUGUUAUUAAAAUUUCAAAAUUUUCUAAUUCUCAUUUGUUUUUGUUGCAUAAGGUUUUUUUUUUUGGUUAAUUGUUGCAUAAGUAAUUUGGCAUGUAUUUUUUAACAAUGUUGGAUGAGAAAUCUAAUGGUUUAAGAAUUAUAAAUAAGAAAUUAAAAAACAUUUAGUGACAUUAAAUAAAGUAUUUAUUUAUAAAACUAUUAAAUUCCUCUUUUCACAUUUUCCUUACUUGUUGUGUGUCUACUGUCUACAACCCAUUCGACCUUGAACCUAAUUUAAUUGUGUAUCAAAUGGCAGGUUGGUGUUUUUUGUAAAAUCGUAUUUGUCUAUUUUUCUUUACUAUAAAAAAAAUGUCUUAAUAGUUUAGAUAUUUUUUUUUUAAAGGAAACGAUAAGAGAUUAAUUGAUUGAAAACGUCAUUACAUGGUUUGAAGUACAAGAAGCCCCAUUAAGGCAGCACACAUUGUUCUAAUAGUAAGUCAGAAAUGAACAAAGGAGGAGACUCAGCACAUUCACACUCCUGGCUCAAAGAGAGACAAAACGUGCUAGCCUAUGGACAAUAGAGUUAGCUUGACGGUGAGUAUGGUAAGAAUAGCAUCAGUGCUUGAUGGGAGUAGCACCUUGAUAUCUGUCAUAAUUUGUUCAACUGAGAAUAGAUUGAUAGACGAUACGAUGUGGGUGGCAAAGUGUGUGUCAAAAAAUGGAUGUCCCAAGAUGCUAACGAUAUGACACACACUUUGUAGGGCUCAUUCCAUAACAUUUUUAAGAAUUUGAAUCAUCUAUAUUUCAAUUCAUCAUUCAUAUAUGUCCUUGCCAAAAAUUAAAAAGAUCCAAAAUCAUUAAAACAUUAAUUUGUAAGGAAGAAAAUACAGAUGGGCGUCACAACCCCCCCCCCCUCGUUGGUUCUUGUUCUGGCUCGAGAUGGGUUUCCUUGCCCCCUUGUAAUUAGGUUUUUUUUUUUUUUUUUGGAUGGCUUUGCGCCAUCCUUUUGUGCCUUUUGAGGCUUGAUUGUGAUUUCCUAUUUCUUCUGAGAGUUUAAAUGUAUUAAGUCCUUGAACAUAGGAUAUCAUGGUCUAUGUUUAGUUAUGUUUCUUGGAGUACUUGUUCUGUUUUAAUACAAUGACCUCUUUCUGAAUUAAAAAAAAAAAAAAAUUGACUUUGCCAAUUUUUCCCCAAUCAAACAUUUAACACACUUAACUGGCCUUCUACCAUAGUGAUGAAAGAAGUGUUACCUUUACACUACUACAUGAGUUCGAAUUCCGUUGGCUCUCUUAUUUAAUAAAUCUAUCUUUUGAUAUAUAAAAAAAUAAAAAAACUCAAAAUGCAAAUGAGUUGUGCAUCAUAGUAUUAGAUAAUGUUGUAUAAUUCAACAGACAACUGUUUUUUUUUUUUUGUUAUGAAAAAGCAAUAGAGAAUUAGGUAAAUACGAUGUAAAACAUUUCUACUCAAGAGGCAGAUUGUCUGCCCCUUGUUUGGAUGCCCUUUUUAUUCCCUCAUAUUUUAUGCGGUCACAGUUAAUACACGUCAAUAUUUUAUAUUAAUUUUUUUAUAGAGAUAAUAAGAUAAAAAACAAUAAGAAUAUAUAAUAUUGACAUAACUUACUGUUUAACCAUGACCGCACAAAUAAAAAAGGAUGGGUAGAGCAUCCAAAUAGGAAGACAGACAAUCUGCUUCUUUCUACUCAUCUUCUAAGUGUCAUGUCAUAUAAUGGCAUGUGAUAAAUGCAUGACCCACCACAUGAAUAAAUAGUCCUCAAAACACGGCACGUGGAAAUGAUUUAGCUAGUGACCACCAAGAUUAUAUUCUUCUGGCAAAAUGCGACAUGUUUAUAUUUUUCUGGCAAAACAACAUGAUAUUGAUGUGCCUUUGGCUUCUCUAUUGUUGGCUUCUCUAUUGUUGGCGUCUAGUGUAGAAUGAUUAAAAAAAUUAAAUCUAAAGAAUAAUUUUUUUCGAUGUCUUAACCUCAAUCUUCUUUUCUUACCAAUUAAUCAAGAAAAAUGCUAAGGACCUAUCUCAAAAGUAGAACUUUGGAAUUCUUUGUUGAUUCUUAUUUUUUAUAAAAUAUUUUAUUAUAUUCUUACAAGAAUUGAGAUGACAAAAAGUUCAUGAAGAGUCGUACUUUUGAAAUAAUCACUUGACAUUUCCUUUUAUACAAACAUGACUACAUGAGUUAAUUAAUAACUAAUUUAAUUUCAUGUUUUUCAUAACUAAUAAUUUUUAUGUACCCAUAUAUAUAUAUAAUGUAUUUGUUUACUAACUAGCCCAAAAAUAUGAUUGUCCCUUGAAAAAAAAAAAUAAUAUUUUAUUUGAUGUAUGAUGAAUGUAUUCGAACUCGUAAUCUUUUUCCAAAUCUCUUCUAACAUUUAUCAACUCACUUAAAACUCGAUCUCUACUAUAAUUGUCGAUACAAAUUUCCGCCGUUUUUAAUCUUGACGAAAAUGCACCUGCAAAACAAUCAACUUUUUUGAUCAAAGACCUAAGCCUCAUGCGCCCACGAGGUGGGGGGGGGGGUUUAGGUCAACGGAUCUCCGACGCCUAAGUUAGUUUAUCUGAGAGUAAAGUGUUUAAGGCUUUUUAGGGUUGCAAAAGCUCUCUAAGUUUGGUAGAAUAUGGGGUAUUUAUAGCGCUAGGGUAGGCCAUAUAGGGUUUAAUGGAGAAAUAUUCUCUAAAUAUUCCCAAGAUAUUUAAUAGGAUUACUUACUUGAUAGGAGUCAAUCUUCAAUUAGGAAUGUAUUAAAGAUAGGAUUUGGGUAAUUAAUCCUUAUCUUUAAUUCCUUACCAUGGGCAGUUGUGCUCAGUUGCUGAGUCCUUCAGGGAUGUGAGCUGCACGUGGGAGAAUAUGAGAAGUUUGCUCAUUUAUUGAGGACCAUUUUGUCCUUUUUGAAUUAAACAUUUAACACACUUAACUGGCCUUCUACCAUAGUGAUGAAAGAAGUGUUAGCUUUAUAUACUACUACAUGAGUUCGAAUUCCGUUGGCUCUCUUAUUUAAUAAAUCUAUCUUUCUUUUGAUAAAAAAAUAAAAUAAUAAAAAAAUAAAAAAUAAAAAUAAAAAAACUCAAAAUACAAAUGAGCUGUGCAUCAUAGUAUAUUAGAUAAUGUUGUAUAAUAUAAUUCAACAGACAACUGUUUUUUUUUUUUUUUUUUUUUUAUAAAAAAGCAAUAGAGAAUUAGGUAAAUACGAUGUAAAAACAUUUCUACUCAAGAGGCAGAUUGUCUGCCCCCUGUUUGGAUGCCCUUUUUAUUCCCUUAUAUUUUAUGCGGUCACAGUUAAUACACGUCAACAUUUUAUAUUAAUUUUUUUUUAUAAAGAUAAUAAGAUAAAAACAUAAAUAAAGAAUAUAUAAUAUUGACAUAGCUUACUGUUUAACCAUGACAGCACAUAUAAAAAAAGAUGGGUAGAGCAUCCAAAUAGGAAGACAGACAAUCUGCUUCUUUCUACUCAUCUUCUAAGUGUCAUGUCAUAUAAUGGCAUGUGAUAAAUGCAUGACCCACCACAUGAAUAAAUAGUCCUCAAAACACGGCACGUGGAAAUGAUUUAGCUAGUGACCACCAAGAUUAUAUUCUUCUGGCAAAAUGCGACAUGUUUAUAUUUUUCUGGCAAAACAACAUGAUAUUGAUGUGCCUUUGGCUUCUCUAUUGUUGGCUUCUCUAUUGUUGGCGUCUAGUGUAGAAUGAUUAAAAAAAGUAAAUCUAAAGAAUAAUUUUUUUCGACGUCUUAACCUCAAUCUUCUUUUCUUACCAAUUAAUCAAAAAAUGCUAAGGACCUAUCUCAAAAAGUAGAACUUUGGAAUUCUUUGUUGAUUCUUAUUUUUUAUAAAAUAUUUUAUUAUAUUCUUACAAGAAUUGAGAUGACAAAAAGUUCAUGAAGAGUCGUACUUUUGAAAUAAUCACUUGACAUUUCCUUUUAUACAAACAUGACUACAUGAGUUAAUUAAUAACUAAUUUAAUUUCAUGUUUUUCAUAACUAAUAAUUUUUAUGUACCCAUAUAUAUAAUGUAUUUUUUUACUAACUAGCCCAAAAAUAUGAUUGUCCCUUGAAAAAAAAAAUUAAUAUUUUAUUUGAUGUAUGAUGAAUGUAUUCGAACUCGUAAUCUUUUUCCAAAUCUCUUCUAACAUUUAUCAACUCACUUAAAACUCCAUCUCUACUAUAAUUGUCGAUACAAAUUUCCGCCGUCUUUAAUCUUGACGAAAAUGCACCUGCAAAACAAUCAACUUUUUUGAUCAAAGACCUAAGCCUCAUGCGCCCACGAGGUGGGGGGGGGGUUUAGGUCAACGGAUCUUCGACGCCUAAGUUAGUUUAUCUGAGAGUAAAGUGUUUAAGUCUUUUUAGGGUUGCAAAAGCUCUCUAAGAUUGGUAGAAUAUGGGGUAUUUAUAGCGCUAGGGUAGGCCAUAUAGGGUUUAAUGGAGAAAUAUUCUCUAAAUAUUCCCAAGAUAUUUAAUAGGAUUACUUACUUGAUAGGAGUCAAUCUUCAAUUAGGAAUGUAUUAAAGAUAGGAUUUGGGUAAUUAAUCUUUAUCUUUAAUUCCUUACCAUGGGCAGUUGUGCUCAGUUGCUGAGUCCUUCAAGCAGUGGCGAAGCCACGUGAGGGCGAGGAGUGGCGACCGCCACUCCCCUCGCCGGAAAACACAGCCCCAGCGUUGGUUUAGCUCCUCCCCUCCCGCUCGAAAACCCAGCCCCUCCGCAGCUCCGCUUCCUGUCUCUCUUCCUUCGAACUUGUUCUGCUACACAACAGCAGAAAAGAACCGUUCUGUUUUGUUUUAAUCGGAGCAGAAAUUCAAAUCACUGAGAUUUUAAAUUUUUGAGUGAUACAAAAAUUUAAUCGAGAUUUUCCCAAAAAAGUGACGGAAAAUCCUAAUUUUCUGUUUUGGUUGGCAUUUUAAAAGAUUUUCCGGGAAAGUGUGUAUUUAUAUGGCACUGUCAGAGUGCGUAAGUUGGACUGGGGUGUGACUGCUUUGGUAGGUAAGAGCAAUUCCACUCCUAAGGACUUUGCGCCAGCACCCAGCGCAUUUAUCCACUCAAAUGAACAGUAACAGACUCCAAUGAACAGUAAUAGGCCAAGGCAUCUCCACCCCUAAAAAAAUGCGCUGGCACCUAGUGAAAAAAUGCGCUGGCACAAACGAUCUUCAUCCUUACAAAAUGCGCUGGCACCCAGCCCAUUUAAGAUAUUUUUAAAUUUUGUCUAAAAGAAUAAAAAAAUAAAAUAGUUUUAAUUUCGGAUAGGAUUUUUAACCAAUCUCGUCACGCCACAUGUCAUUAUCUGAACGUACUAUUUUGUGAAUAGAUUUCCGCUAAGAUUUUCAACCAAUCUCGACACGUCACGUGUCACUUCCGUUUUACAAUAAUUUAGCCAAGAUUUCGAUAAGAUUUUCAACCAAUCACGUCAUGCCACUUGUCAUUAUCUGAACGUACUAUUUUGUGGAUAGAUUUCCGAUAAUAUUUUCGACCAAUCCCGACAUGCCACGUGUCACUUCCGGUUUACAAUAAUUUAGCCAAGAUUUCGAUAAGAUUUUCAACCAAUCACGUAGUGCCACGUGGCAUUGUCCAGAACCUCAUCCUUUCUUUUUUUGUCCAUAUAAACCCUACAUCCCUACAUCCAUCCUCACACCAAGCUCAAUCAUUCUUUUUAGCUCAGAAUCCUUGUUCAUCGUUUUCAAAUCUUAAGUUCUUAUUAUCGUUUUCAAAUCUUAAGUUCUUAUUACAAUGUCUUCUUCAAGAAGGGUGUAUAAACAGUUGCAGGAGCAACAACAAAGGUUGUUGGCACAACAGGCAGAAUUGGCCAAUCUCGAGGAAGGUGGAAGUGGAGGUGGAGAUGAGGCUUUCUUCAUGGAGGAGGAUGAGGAUGAUCACCAUAGAAGGCAGAAGGCCUCACAUUCCCGCCUUGUCAUGGAAGUCGUGGGUCAGAUAGCCAAACCAAGACGUGUUGCAAACCUCGAUAGAAAAAGGGAAAAACGAGGUAAAAAUCUAUUGGAAGAUUAUUUUAUUCCCAAUAGCAUAUUCCCUGAUCAUAUUUUUAGACGGCGUUUUAGAAUGCAACGAAAUUUGUUCAACAAAAUCAUGAGUGAUAUUUGCAACCAUGAUUCAUACUUUGUGCAAAAAGAGGAUGCUUUUCAUGUUCUAGGUCUUAUUCCCGAGCAAAAAAUUACGGCAUCCUUGCGAAUGCUUGCAUAUGGAGCAUCUGCAGAUCAAGUGGAUGAGAUCGCGAGGAUGGGAAAAACAACUGUUUUGGAGUCCCUGAUGCGUUUUUGCUCUGCAAUUGAAGCCCUCUACACCAAAGAGUACCUCCAGACACCCACGCCAAGGGACAUGCGAAGGCUUCUGAGGAAGGGUGAGAUGCGAGGCUUCCCUGGCAUGAUUGGAAGCAUGGACUGCAUGCAUUGGACUUGGAAAAACUGUCCAAGUGCGUGGCAAGGAGCAUAUGGCAACAGAAAAUGAGCCAAAAGCAUCAUUUUGGAAGCGGUGGCUUCAUUUGAUACAUGGAUUUGGCAUGCUUUUUUUGGUGUUCCAGGAGCUCAGAAUGACUUAAAUGUCCUUGCCCAAUCCCCAAUGUUCGACGAACUGCUGCAAGGAAACUCGCCGAGAUGCACAUAUACCAUUAAUGGUACCCAAUACGAGGGAUCAUACUACCUUGCAUAUGGCAUUUACCCAAGGUGGUCAACAUUUGUCAAAACAGUGCCACAUCCACAGACUGAAAAGGAAAAACACUUUGCAAAAUGUCAAGAAGGGUGUAGGAAGGAUGUCGAGCGUUGUUUUGGUAUCCUACAAGCUCGUUGGGCGAUUAUUAGGGCUGCAGCUAGAAUGUUUGAUGUCGAGGCUCUUCGAUCCAUCAUGAUGACGUGUAUUAUUCUCCACAACAUGAUUGUUGAAGAUGAGUAUGAUUAUGAUGGCGUCGAUGAAUAUGAGCCGGAUCCGAUGAACAACUCAAGAACACGUAUCUAUUGUGCUCAUGAUGGGACCGAAGAUCCAGUGCAACACGAGCCGUUGGAACGCGAUGGACGUUACAAUGAAUUGAUCGUUCAACGUUACACUAAUGUGCAAGAGCCAUACUGGCACGUAACCCGCCAGAAUGACUUGAUUGAGCACCAGUGGGGAUUGCAUGAAGGCGAAGAUAAUUAGAAUGAGGCUUGUGGUUGAAGAAUAAAUUGUAUUUUUUUUUUAAGUUUAUGUAAUUCUAUGUAGUGUGUUUUGUUUUUAAGUUUAUUUAGUGAGUUUAUGUAAUUCUAUGUAUUUGGUGAGUUUAUGUAAUUCUAUGUAGUGUGUUUUGUUUUUAAGUUUAUUUGGUGAGUUUAUGUAAUUCUAUUUAUUUGGUGAGUUUGUGUAAUUCUAUGUAGUGUGUUUUGUUUUUAAAUUUAUUUGGUGAGUUUAUGUAAUCUUAUUUCAUGUGUUUAAAUAAAGUACAAAAGAAAUAAAGUUUUAAAAAUAAAUAAAGAAUUACAUUAAAAUUGCAUAAUAAAUUAAAUAAAAAUAAAUAAAGUUUUUAAAAUAAAUAAGGAAUAACAUAAAAAUUACAUAAGAAAUUAAAUAAAGUUCAAACCUAAAAAAAGAAAAAAACAUAAGAAAUUACAUAAGAAAUUAAAUAAAGUUCAAAAGAAAAAAGAAAGAAAAAACAUAAAAAAAACAUAAAAAUUAUACAAAGUCUCUCGAGUUAGGAUAUGUGGUGCGAGGAUCUUGGUUGUCACAAAAGUUGCUAGAACCCCCUUGACUUGUUUCCGCAUCUCUUGCACGCCUCCUUCGCAUGGCAUCUCUUUUUUUCCGAAGUCCAAAAAAUAUUUAGAAUUCGGAGACAGUCCUACUAGAGACUUGCUCAUAGUGUCACGAUCUGCUUGAGCCAUCCUUUCUUCUCGAAGCAAUUCAUUUUCUCGAUAAAGUGCUUCUCUAACCAGCUCGUUCUCUCUCGAUUAACUACUUCUCUUUGUCUCUCAGCCGCCGCAUCACGGGCCUCAGUAGCUGCUAAUAUUGCUGCCAUAACAGCAACUUUUUCCUCAUCUCUAACCUUUUCUCGUGCCAUGUUCAGUUCACCUUGGCGAGUAAGUUCCUCCAUAUAUUUAGUGUAGUCAUUCUUGGAAGAACUACCUUUUUUCUUUGACGCCUUUUUACCUACGGGCCUGAGGGACUGACGAAUCGGUUGGGUCUCGGGCACUUGUUCAGGCAUCCCUUCUGUGUCUUGAAAUGUGUCGGCUUCUUGUUCGGCCAUGUCUGGUUCUGGAGAACUAUGUAGACCCAUACCGUGCAUGACAACUUCUGGACCAGUUGCCACAAUUUUGUAUUUAGGACAAUCUUUGACAAUUUGCCAACAUUCCCAUCUAGUGAAUGAUUUGUUCCCGUUCUUUGAAUUGUAGAAUGCUUGAGCUUGUAGUGUCUAUAAAAAUGUGGGAUAACAUAGUGUUAAAAAAUGCGGGUGUAACACAAAUAAAUAAAUUCAAAAUAUUAAUACGGGUGGAAUGCAUAUAAAUUACAUAAAAAUGACAUAAGAAAUUAAAUAAAAAUGACAUAAGAAAUUAAAUAAAAAUUACAUAAAAAUUAUAUAAGAAAUAAGAUAAAAAUUACAUACGAAAUUAAGUAAAUCAAAAUAUUAAUGUGAGUGGAAUGCAUAUAAAUUACAUAAAAAUGACAUAAGAAAUUAAAUAAAAAUGACAUAAGAAAUUAAAUAAAAAUUACAUAAAAAUUACAUAAGAAAUAAGAUAAAAAUUACAUACGAAAUUAAAUAAAUCAAAAUAUUAAUGUGAGUGGAAUGCAUAUAAAUAAAUAAAAAUAUUGUCACCUGAUCCGCUAAACUUGUCCCACUACGGAGGUUACCGGAAGCAUGAGAGAUGGCGUUUUUCCAACAAGUAAAUGAUGCGUUGAGUUUUUUCCAACGACCUUGAAGACCUUGACUAGUUCUGGCGUUUUCUCCAUGUACAUCACAAAACGCUUUCGUAAUUUUACUCCACAUUUCUCGCUUUAUCCAUCUCAUUACCUGUAAUCGGAUCAUGAGUAGUGUGAACCCAACAUUCACACAACGUAACAUCUUCAAUGAGCUUCCACGAAGACAUUUUUUUCUCUUAAAGUGUAGAAAAUAUUGAAAUGUAGAUAGUAUAGAAAGUGUAGAAAAUAUUGGAAUGUGGCGUAAAGGUAGAAGAUGAGGGUUAGGUAUUUUAUAGGAAAAAAAUUAACAUUUUUCAAAAAUUUUCUGUAAUUUUUUUAAAAUUUUCUGUAUUUUUUAAUAAUUUUUCUGUAUUUUUUAAUAAUUUUUAAUGAAUUUUAAUAUAGUUAAUUAAUCUGGACCGUUGGAUUUGAAAAAUAUUCAAAUCCAAGAGCUAGGGAGUUGCCACGUGGCCAACGGUCAUAUUUCUGACCGUUGGGCCCUUUUUUUAUUUAUUUAUUUACUUUUUGUGAAAAAAACGUGGACCGUUGAUCUUUGAUCCGACGGCCUAGUUUAAAAGUAAAAUUUAAAAUUUUUUUACCGUUGGAAAUCCAACGGUCUAGAAAACUAGCCGUUGGAAAUCCAACGGCAGAGAGAGAGCCACGUCGCAAACUCGGGGGGUGGAACUGACAGCACCUGCACGCGGGCCUGAGCUCUGAAAGCUUGUCGGGCACUCGCGCCACGGCUGCGUGAAGCGCACGCGCCAUGCUUCCUCCCCGGUUUCUGUCUCAGUCUCUUUUGGGCUGGGCUCUUGCCCAGCUCGGGCUGGGUACCAGUCAAUUUGUUGGGGUGGACUUGAUUGACUGAGGCCUGGCUUGGUUUUUGGACUGAAGGCUGGGACAUUUGGUCCCCGCUGGAAUUGCUCUAAGCGGAAGGGCUUUGGUGAUGGACGGUGGUGACGUGGAGCCGGUGGAUAGGACGGGUGACUGGGAAAUGCUGGUUUAGGUAGUGCGGAUCCUGCGUGGAAAGUUGUUAUUGGAUGGUGCGAGUCAUUAGGUUGUGUCCUCGUGUGCCACCAUCGAUUUGGAAAUUGGUAGACAUGUAGGGUGGUAAGAUACCACUCUUAUCCUUGACAUAAAUGCAUACGUGGAGUAAGCUUAAGGCAUGGUAGAGUAAUUAUCCACUAUAACGCAAAGCACCAAAUCAUCACUUUUUAUGUCUUUAUUCGAAUUUUUUCAAAAGAACCUAUCCUUUUUCCGGGGAUCCUGAAAAUUCCGUGAUCGUGAUCAUUCAUCGUAUAUCGUGCGAUCAGUUUUCGCUAGUUACUAUUUAUAUUUAAUUUUAAAUUUUAAAUUUUAAAUGAUUUUUGACUGCACAAUAUACGAUGAACGAUCACGAUCACAGAAUCCUCAGAAUUCCCGAAAAAAGGAUCCGACGAGAAUCAUUUUCCAUUUUUAAAUGACAAGUUUCACAUCAAUUUAUUUAUUCACCCAUUAGUUUAAAUGACAAAGUGAAUUUUUGCUUCGAACUGGCUCUCCCCCCCCCCCCCAAAAACUCAGCAGCCAACGAACGGAACGGAACGGAGCCAUCUCACAGGCUCACUCCAGCCGAGCUGCCGUUUACUCGCACACUCACUCUCAGUCUCACAUACUCACUUCAGAGAGGGGAUGAGGUCACUUGGUACGCAGACGGCGAUAAGAUUGUGAGGAAUGAGUAUAAUCCAGCUGCACCCUAUGCAUUUGGUAAUAUAUUAGUUAGUAUAUAUUGUUAUUUUGAAUUUGGAAAUUUUGAUGUGGAGUUAAUUUCGAUUUCGGUUAGUUUAUGGAAAAUGCAAAAGAAAAUGUGUUGGAAUUAAUCUGCAUUUAACGUAGUUACAGGGUUUUGAAAACUGAUUGGAUUUGGGGAUGGUUUUGUUGUGGCAGAUAGAGUUUUUGGACAGCAUGCCAAUUCGAUAGAGUUUCAGUAAAGCUCCGUUUGUGAGUUGUGCAGAAAAGGUUAUAAUGACCAAUGUUUACACUCUCUCUUUGAUUCCACACUAGGGGACUGGAUUUAAGCUUGCCUUCCAUGGCCCUGAAAAUAUUAAUAUCAAAUGAUUAGUGAGAAACUGCUUUUAUGGGGGGGCACCAUUGCGUGGAGAUCAAUGGUUGAGUGAUAGCAUGCUUAUUUACAUUGAGAAAGAUGUGUUUGUUUUUAUUGAUAAUGAGCCUAUUAUGCGACGUUUUCAUGACCUGAAACUUCGCCAGCAACAAUUGUAAUUUGUUUGUAUUGAUUAAUUAUGGAAGACAUUACUAUAUAAAAAGAUUUAGUUGUUGCCAUUUUUCUUUAACCUUGCAUUCUUUUAAGUUCGCUCCUCCCCCCGAGAAAUCCUGGCUUCGCCACUGCCUUCAAGGAUGUGAGCUGCACGUGGGAGAAUAUGAGAAGUUUGCUCAUUUAUUGAGGACCAUUUUGUCCUUUUUGAAUUAAACAUUUAACACACUUAACUGGCCUUCUACCAUAGUGAUGAAAGAAGUGUUACCUUUAUACUACUACAUGAGUUCGAAUUCCGUUGGCUCUCUUAUUUAAUAAAUCUAUCUUUUGAUAUAUAAAAAAAUAAAAAAUAAAAAUAAAAAAACUCAAAACACAAAUGAGCUGUGCAUCAUAGUAUUAGAUAAUGUUGUAUAAUUCAACAGACAACUGUUUUUUUUUUUUGUUAUGAAAAAGCAAUAGAGAAUUAGGUAAAUACGAUGUAAAACAAUUAUACUCAAGAGGCAGAUUGUCUGCCCCCUGUUUGGAUACCCUUUUUAUUCCCUUAUAUUUUAUGCGGUCACAGUUAAUACACGUCAACAUUUUAUAUUAAUUUUUUUAUAGAUAAUAAGAUAAAAAACAAUAAGAAUAUAUAAUAUUGACAUAGCUUACUGUUAACCAUGACCGCACAUAUAAAAAAAAGAUGGUUAGACCGUAGAGCAUCCAAAUAGGAAGACAGACAAUCUGCUUCUUUCUACUCAUCUUCUCAGUGUCAUGUCAUAUAAUGGCAUGUGAUAAAUGCAUGACCCACCACAUGAAUAAAUAGUCCUCAAAACACGGCACAUGGAAAUGAUUUAGCUAGUGACCACCAAGAUUAUAUUCUUCUGGCAAAAUGCGACAUGUUUAUAUUUUUCUGGCAAAACAACAUGAUACUGAUGUGCCUUUGGCUUCUCUAUUGUUGGCGUCUAGUGUGGAAAUGAAUUGUCACAUUCGUUUAUAGUUUCUAGAUAACUAGUAAUACCGUAUAUGCUUUUUUCUUUUGUUUUUUUUUUUUUGUUGGAAACUACCCUAUGUGCUUUUGGAGUAUUAUUAUUGGACAUUACACUUUGAGCAGCAAGAGUUUCUUGCAUUUUAGCUUUUUUUCAUGUGUCCAUUUUAUGUGCGGUAGUUGUUGAUUUUUGCGCUACGGGUUUGAAUCAUAUAAAUCUAUAAAUAAAGUUUAAAUUGCAAUGUUUGUAUGACAUUUAAAUUAGUCUGGACUUGUAGUUUAGAACUAAUGUUUCUAACAUGGUGUAUGAAACUUAAAUAUCCCAUAUAUUUUUUUCAUCCACUGUAUAAAAAAUGAAAAAUACAUGUGUUAAUCACUUAUACAAUACAUCCAAACGAGAAUAAGAAAAUUUCAGAAUUUGAAUAAAAAAUUAUGGGAGAGUCAAUAUGCACAUGAUUUUUGCUUUAGUACCGUGGGAUAAUAGCUUACCGUAAGCAAAAACACAAAAUAUAAAUUAUAAAUAUAAUAGAAGGAUAACUGGAAUCGCUCCAGGGGUCUCUCACCCGUACUUGACCUCUUACCAAAGAAUUUUGGCAUCUAUCCCAUCUCAGGGCUAGAAUUUUAAUCUCUGGAAGGCAAAGCUUUUCUAUUCAACUCUUCAUUGUUUGUUAAUCUGAAUUACAAGGGAUGUUUAUAAAGCCUAAAACCUAAUGACCGCAUGAAGGUAAACUUAUUAUAGUAAAGAAAUCCUAAUCCAAAAUAAAAUAGGACACUAUAUCUAAUCCUAAUUAAACUGGAAAGAAUUAUAGAGCUCGUUGGAAGUGAUUUUAAAAGCUGAAAAUGUUUUUGGUGAAAAUGAUUUUGGAACCAAUGCUUAGUAAAAAUGCAAAUAAAUUCCAAAAAAAAAACACUUAGUGUUUCCUUAAAAAAGCAUAUAACCGGUGGUUCCUAUAAUAAGCAUUUCAAGUGCUUUUGAAAUCCAAAAAUAUUUUAUCUAAAAACGUUUUUAAUCAUUUUAAAAGUACUUUGAAAUCAACCUUUAAUCCUUAUAAACUAAGUAAUCAUAAAACUACCCCCUAGAUAUUAAAAUACUAAGGACUAAAGACUAAAAAGGCUAAAAUACCCUUUAAUUUAGGAAGUCACCACUCUUGUUCCACGUGACUUAGCUAUUACUAAUUUACUAUCACCAGUAAUUGAUGAAAGAUAAUAUCAAAAUAGAGAGGCAUAAUAGAGUCAGCAAAUCUAGAACCUCUCUUUUUCAUGCAAAUUUUCCUCAUCGACGAAGAAAAAUGUGCUAUAUAUUUUUUAUUCAUGUGUUUCAAAAGUGGAUGGUCUCUUCAGUAAGGUGGUGAACUUAAAGAAAUUUGAGGUUGUAUUGUAAAAUUAAUUAGUAAAUAGAGAGUGGUUCAAUUCUUUAUAAGCUCUUGUAUGAUUUGAUUUCUCACCGAUGUGAGAUUUUGUCUUUACAUUCUUACACUAUUCUCGCACGUGGCAAAUUUUAAAACCUAACAUGCGGACAAUACAAAUUGGGUGACGUGGAACAUGUGUGGCCAUUAGACUUCACACGUGGGCUAAUAUGAAGAUUAGUCUAACUCUUCAUAAGCCCUUGCAUGAUUUGGUGAAUCACUGAUGUGAGACUUUGUUCUCACAUUCUCACACGCUUCAUCAUGUGUGACGAAUAUUCAAGCCUAACAUAUGAACAAUACAUAAAAUCUCAAUUUUCUACAAAGUAUCAGAGUUGGUUGAAUCAGAUGUUUAAUUAUUCUUUCGUAGUAUGAAGUCAAUUGAACUACAUGUUUGAUAUGUAAGGAUGUAAAUGUUGAUCCACAUCAAAAAGUUAAGAGACCGUUUACGAUUUUAAUUUGUCCUGAAAGAUGCAUUUCACCAUUUGAUGUAGCUCGUAUGGGAAGCCUAACUUUUUUCUUUCUCUCUUUUUUUUCUCGCAAUAUAGAUUGUUAACUUUUUCUUUUAAUUUGAGGGAUUCUCCUUGUCUUAAUGAUGUUGACAUCGGAGUGGUAUGGUUCAUGAAUCUUGACUAAGAAAACCCCUGCAUUCAUACACACAUUUUUAGUGUGCGGUCCCACCAAUUUCAACUAUAAAAACAUCACAAUCCCCUUUCCUUCUCAAUUGCAGAGUACAAGAAGCCCCAUUAAGGCAGCACACAUUGUUCUAAUUGUAAGUCAGAAAGGAACAAAGGAGGAGACUCAGCACAUUCACACUCCUGGCUCAAAGAGAGACAAAACGUGCUAGCCUAUGGACAAUAGAGUUAGCUUGACGGUGAGUAUGGUAAGAAUAGCAUCAAUGCUUGAUGGGAGUAGCACCUUGAUAUCUUUCAUAAUUUGUUCAACUGAGAAUAGAUUGAUAGACGAUACGAUGUGGGUUUGGCAAAGUGUGUGUCAAAAAAUGGAUGUCCCAAGAUGCUAAUGAUAUGACACACACUUUGUCGGGCUCAUUCCAUAACAUUUUCAAGAAUUUGAAUCAUCUAUAUUUCAAUUCAUCGUUCAUAUAUGUCCUUGCCAAAAAUUAAAAAGAUUCAAAAUCAUUAAAACAUUAAUUUGUAAGGAAGAAAAUACAGAUGGGCGUCACAAACCCUCCCCGCCCCCCGGUUGGUUCUUGUUCUGGCUCGAGAUGGGCUUCCUUGCCCCCUUGUAAUUAGGUUUUUUUUUUUAUUUUUCUGGAUGGCUUCGCGCCAUCCUUUUGUGCCUUUUGAGGCUUGAUUGUGAUUUCCUAUUUCUUCUGAGAGUUUAAAUGUAUUAAGUCCUUGAACGUAGGAUAUCAUGGUCUAUGUUUAGUUAUGUUUCUUGGAGUACUUGUUCUGUUUUAAUACAAUGACCUCUUUCUGAAUUAAAAAAAAAAAUUGACUUUGCCAAUUUUUCCCCAAUCAAACAUUUAACACACUUAACUGGCCUUCUACCAUAGUGAUGAAAGAAGUGUUACCUUUAUAUUACUACAUGAGUUCGAAUUCCGUUGGCUCUCUUAUUUAAUAAAUCUAUCUUUUGAUAUAUAAAAAAAUAAAAAAUAAAAAUAAAAAAACUCAAAACACAAAUGAGCUGUGCAUCAUAGUAUUAGAUAAUGUUGUAUAAUUCAACAGACAACUGUUUUUUUUUUUUUUUGUUAUGAAAAAGCAAUAGAGAAUUAGGUAAAUACGAUGUAAAACAUUUCUACUCAAGAGGCAGAUUGUCUGCCCCCUGUUUGGAUGCCCUUUUUAUUCCCUUAUAUUUUAUGCGGUCACAGUUAAUACACGUCAACAUUUUAUAUUAAUUUUUUUUAUAGAUAAUAAGAUAAAAAACAAUAAGAAUAUAUAAUAUUGACAUAGCUUACUGUUUAACCAUGACAGCACAUAUAAAAAAAGAUGGGUAGAGCAUCCAAAUAGGAAGACAGACAAUCUGCUUCUUUCUACUCAUCUUCUAAUUGUCAUGUCAUAUAAUGGCAUGUGAUAAAUGCAUGACCCACCACAUGAAUAAAUAGUCCUCAAAACACGGCACGUGGAAAUGAUUUAGCUAGUGACCACCAAGAUUAUAUUCUUCUGGCAAAAUGCGACAUGUUUAUAUUUUUCUGGCAAAACAACAUGAUAUUGAUGUGCCUUUGGCUUCUCUAUUGUUGGCUUCUCUAUUGUUGGCGUCUAGUGUAGAAUGAUUAAAAAAAAGUAAAUCUAAAGAAUAAUUUUUUUCGACGUCUUAACCUCAAUCUUCUUUUCUUACCAAUUAAUCAAGAAAAAUGCUAAGGACCUAUCUCAAAAGUAGAACUUUGGAAUUCUUUGUUGAUUCUUAUUUUUUAUAAAAUAUUUUAUUAUAUUCUUACAAGAAUUGAGAUGACAAAAAGUUCAUGAAGAGUUGUACUUUUGAAAUAAUCACUUGACAUUUCCUUUUAUACAAACAUGACUACAUGAGUUAAUUAAUAACUAAUUUAAUUUCAUGUUUUUCAUAACUAAUAAUUUUUAUGUACCCAUAUAUAUAAUGUAUUUGUUUACUAACUAGCCCAAAAAUAUGAUUGUCCCUUGAAAAAAAAGAAUUUAAUAUUUUAUUUGAUGUAUGAUGAAUGUAUUCGAACUCGUAAUCUUUUUCCAAAUCUCUUCUAACAUUUAUCAACUCACUUAAAACUCCAUCUCUACUAUAAUUGUCGAUACAAAUUUCCGCCGUCUUUAAUCUUGACGAAAAUGCACUUGCAAAACAAUCAACUUUUUUUAUCAAAGACCUAAGGCUCAUGCGCCCACGAGGUGGGGGGGGGGGUUUAGGUCAACGGAUCUUCGACGCCUAAGUUAGUUUAUCUGAGAGUAAAGUGUUUAAGGCUUUUUAGGGUUGCAAAAGCUCUCUAAGAUUGGUAGAAUAUGGGGUAUUUAUAGCGCUAGGGUAGGCCAUAUAUGGUUUAAUGGAGAAAUAUUCUCUAAAUAUUCCCAGGAUAUUUAAUAGGAUUACUUACUUGAUAGGAGUCAAUCUUCAAUUAGGAAUGUAUUAAAGAUAGGAUUUGGGUAAUUAAUCCUUAUCUUUAAUUCCUUACCAUGGGCAGUUGUGCUCAGUUGCUGAGUCAUUCAGGGAUGUGAGCUGCACGUGGGAGAAUAUGAGAAGUUUGCUCAUUUAUUGAGGACCAUUUUGUCCUUUUUGAAUUAAACAUUUAACACACUUAACUGGCCUUCUACCAUAGUGAUGAAAGAAGUGUUACCUUUAUACUACUACAUGAGUUCGAAUUCCGUUGGCUCUCUUAUUUAAUAAAUCUAUCUUUUGAUAUAUAAAAAAAUAAAAAAACUCAAAACACAAAUGAGCUGUGCAUCAUAGUAUUAGAUAAUGUUGUAUAAUUCAACAGACAACUGUUUUUUUUUUUUUUUUUUUUGUUAUGAAAAAGCAAUAGAGAAUUAGGUAAAUACGAUGUAAAACAUUUCUACUCAAGAGGCAGAUUGUCUGCCCCCUGUUUGGAUGCCCUUUUUAUUCCCUCAUAUUUUAUGCGGUCACAGUUAAUACACGUCAACAUUUUAUAUUAAUUUUUUUAUAGAUAAUAAGAUAAAAAACAAUAAGAAUAUAUAAUAUUGACAUAGCUUACUGUUUAACCAUGACCGCACAUAUAAAAAAAGAUGGGUAGAGCAUCCAAAUAGGAAGAUAGACAAUCUGCUUCUUUCUACUCAUCUUCUAAGUGUCAUGUCAUAUAAUGGCAUGUGAUAAAUGCAUGACCUGCCACAUGAAUAAAUAGUCCUCAAAACACGGCACGUGGAAAUGAUUUAGCUAGUGACCACCAAGAUUAUAUUCUUCUGGCAAAAUGCGACAUGUUUAUAUUUUUCUGGCAAAACAACAUAAUAUUGAUAUGCCUUUGGCUUCUCUAUUGUUGGCGUCUAGUGUGGAAAUGAAUUAUCACAUUCGUUUAUAGUUUCUAGAUAACUAGUAAUACCGUAUGUGCUUUUUUCUUCUUUUGUUUCAUUUUUUUUUUUUGGAUACUACCCUAUGUGCUUUUGGAGUAUUAUUAUUGGACAUUACUCUUUGAGCAGCAAGAGUUUCUUGCAUUUUAGCUUUUUUUCAUGUGUCCAUUUUAUGUGCGGUAGUUGUUAAUUUUUGCGCUACGGGUUUGAAUCAUAUAAAUCUAUAAAUAAAGUUUAAAUUGCAAUGUUUGUAUGACAUUUAAAUUAGUCUGGACUUGUAGUUUAGAAGUAAUGUUUCUAACAUGGUGUAUGAAACUUAAAUAUCCCAUAUAUAUUUUUCAUCCACUGUAUAAAAAAUGAAAAAUACAUGUGUUAAUCACUUAUACAAUACAUCCAAACGAGAAUAAGAAAAUUUCAGAAUUUGAAUAAAAAAUUAUGGGAGAGUCAAUAUGCACAUGAUUUUUGCUUGAGUACCGUGGGAUAAUAGCUUACCGUAAGCAAAAACACAAAAUAUAAAUUAUAAAUAUAAUAGAAGGAUAACUGGAAUCGCUCCAGGGGUCUCUCACCCGUACUUGACCUCUUACCAAAGAAUUUUGGCAUCUAUCCCAUCUCAGGGCUAGAAUUUUAAUCUCUGGAAGGCAAAGCUUUUCUAUUCAACUCUUCAUUGUUUGUUAAUCUGAAUUACAAGGGAUGCUUAUAAAGCCUAAAACCUAAUGACCGCGUGAAGGUAAACUUAUUAUAGUAAAGAAAUCCUAAUCCAAAAUAAAAUAGGACACUAUAUCUAAUCCUAAUUAAACUGGAAAGAAUUAUAGAGCUCGUUGGAAGUGAUUUUAAAAGCUGAAAGUUUUUUUGGUGAAAAUGAUUUUGGAACCAAUGCUUAGUAAAAAUGCAAGUAAAUUCUAAAAAAAAAACACUUAGUGUUUCCUUAAAAAAGCAUAUAACCGGUGGUUCCUAUAAUAAGCACUUCAAGUGCUUUUGAAAUCCAAAAAUAUUUUAUCUAAAAACGUUUUUAAUCAUUUUAAAAGUACUUUGAAAUCAACCUUUAAUCCUUAUAAACUAAGCAAUCAUAAAACUACCCCCUAGAUAUUAAAAUACUAAGGACUAGGGGUGAGUUUGGUACGGUUACCGUACCAAAACCUUUGUACCAAUUACCGUACCAAACUUUCGGUUUGGUAAAAUCUAUUACCAUUACCGUACCAAACUUUCGGUAUACCAAAGUUUGGUAUUGCCAAAAGUUCGGUUGGCAUGGUAUGGCAAUGGUAAUUGCCAUUUUGUUUUGGGACAAAAUCUGUUUUUGUUUUUUUUAACCCAAUUCAAGGGCAAAACUUUUUUUUUUGGUACCUUUAUCUCAUACAUUAUGGAUUAAAUUCAUCUAUUAUUCAUUAUUCACAAUUCACACACAUAAUAAUUCAAAUGAUGCAUCAAGAUUCAUCAUGAAAAUUAAGCUUACAAUCCAAAUAGAAGUCAACAAUCCAAAUAGAAAUUAAAGUUUCAAACCAAAUGAAAAUUGGAAGUAAACUUCAAAAAGGAGAAUUCAUUGAUUAGUUAUUCAAGCUUGAGAUGUCGAAGCUUUUGGAGGAGGCAUUGAAUUUGUAGAAGAUUGAGUUUGUGUCAAGCCUACAUUACAAACAAAGAAAACAUAUUAAUUAGUAGCAAGAAGAAUUAAAGUUGAAAACCAUUUAAUAACAAAUUUACUAAAAAAAUUAAAGCAUAUCUUUCUUGUUUUCUCUUCUUCCAUUUCCUUGUAAAAUUGAAGCAUAUCUUAUGUUGGUUCCUUGUGGAAGUUUACUUCAUCUGCCCUAAGCCAACCAUUAGUACGCACUAGUGCCUCCAUUAUUUUAGGAGUCAAGGAUACCCUAAAAGGGUCCACAACCCUCAUCCCUAGGCUAAAUGCAUUUUCACUAGCAACAUUAGAAGUGGGGGUUACAAAGAUAUUUUGGCUAUUUGUGAAAGAAUUAGGAACUCUUUUGUGUUUGAUUUCCACAAUUUUAAGAGACCAAUCAUCAAAGUCACCAACAACAAUGCUAAUGUGAGUAGAGUUUUAUUUUCAAAUUAUUGGAAUAUUAUAAAAUUGUGUUAUAUAAUUAUCUAUUAUAUAAUUUAUAAAUUAUAAAUUAUAUUGUAUUUUCGGUAUGGUACGGUAAUACUAUGGUAAUGAUAUCCAUUACCAAUACCAUACCAUGAAAUUUCGGUACGGUACAAUACCGUACCAUUACCGAUUGGUACAAAAAAUUUGGCACAAAAUCGGUAUGGCACGGUUGGCAAUUCGGUUGACACGGUAAUUUGGCAAAAAAAUCCACCCCUACUAAGGACUAAAGACUAAAAAGGCUAAAAUACCCUUUAAUUUAGGAAGUCACCACUCUUGUUCCACGUGACUUAGCUAUUACUAAUUUACUAUCACCAGUAAUUGAUGAAAGAUAAUAUCAAAAUAGAGAGGCAUAAUAGAGUCAGCAAAUCUAGAACCUCUCUUUUUCAUGCAAAUUUUCCUCAUCGACGAAGAAAAAUGUGCUAUAUAUUUUUUAUUCAUGUGUUUCAAAAGUGGAUGGUCUCUUCAGUAAGGUGGUGAACUUAAAGAAAUUUGAGGUUGUAUUGUAAAAUUAAUUAGUAAAUAGAGAGUGGUUCAAUUCUUUAUAAGCUCUUGUAUGAUUUGAUUUCUCACCGAUGUGAGACUUUGUCUUUACAUUCUUACACUAUUCUCGCACGUGGCAAAUUUUAAAACCUAACAUGUGGACAAUACAAAUUGGGUGACGUGAAACAUGGUUGGCCAUUGGACUUCACACGUGGGCUAAUAUGAAGAUUAGUCUAACUCUUCAUAAGCCCUUGCAUGAUUUGGUUAAUCACUGAUGUGGGACUUUGUUCUCACAUUCUCACACGCUCCAUCAUGUGUGGCGAAUAUUCAAGCCUAACAUAUGAACAAUACAUAAAAUCUCAAUUUUCUACAAAGUAUCAGAGUUGGUUGAAUCAGAUGUUUAAUUAUUCUUUCGUAGUAUGAAGUCAAUUGAACUACGUGUUUGAUAUGUAAGGAUGUAAAUGUUGAUCCACAUCAAAAAGUUAAGAGACCGUUUACGAUUUUAAUUUGUCCUGAAAGAUGCAUUUCACCAUUUGAUGUAGCUCGUAUGGGAAGCCUAACUUUUUUCUUUCUUUUUUUUUUUCUCGCAAUAUAGAUUGUUAACUUUUUCUUUUAAUUUGAGGGAUUCUCCUUGUCUUAAUGAUGUUGACAUCGGAGUGGUAUGGUUCUUGAAUCUUGACUAAGAAAACCCCUGCAUUCAUACACACAUUUUUAGUGUGCGGUCCCGCCAAUUUCAACUAUAAAAACAUCACAAUCCCCUUUCCUUCUUAAUUGCAGAGUGGAAAGGAAAACCAAUUCAGCCAUGUCUUCAUCUCCCUUACCAACUUCUACAAUGGUCGCCCUGCACUCCACCACAACCACCUUCUUCCGCUCUCAUUUAUUCCCAAACAAGUCCCAGACUCCACUGCAACGAAAACCCAAACAAUGCCUUGCGGGUAGAGUGCGCUGCAAAGCAACAAAAGGUGACAAUGAUAACCUAGAUCAGGGCCUAGCAAGACUCGACAGGAGAAACAUGCUGAUAGGUUUAGGCGCCGGGGGUCUCUACGGUAAGGUAGGAAACCCAUUUGCUUUUGCCGCACCAAUAUCCGCCCCAGACUUGACCACGUGUGUCCCUGCCAGCAAGCCAGACGGGUCCACCAUCGAUUGUUGCCCACCUACCACCACGACCAUCAUCGACUUUGAACUCCCUGACUCAGGCCCACUCCGCACUAGGCCCGCUGCCCAGGACGUUGCAAAUGACCCUGAAUACUUGGCCAAAUACAAAAAUGCCGUCGAGAUGAUGCGGGCACUUCCAGACGACGACCCGCGCAGUCACGCACAACAGGCGAUGGUACACUGCUCAUACUGCGACGGUGGAUACCCACAAGUUGGAUAUUCAGAUUUGGAGAUCCAAGUUCACUUCUGUUGGCUA